CCCAAUCGCUGAGUUGUUGUAUAGGGUAAAAAAGAAACCUCCGCCUCGACGUCUCCCUGACCCCACCGGCGCUGGUGUGCGUGCCGCAAUCACCGCUGCCUCCGGCUUCGCAAACUACUAUGAGAGGGAGGCUACAUCUUCCCAGGUAUGUAUAUGCCAAAUAUAUAUUUGUGCAAGCUCAUGUAUGUGCUGUUUUUUGCUUUUUGAAAGUCAAAUUUAUGUGUGCCCAUGCUCAUAUGUGCUGUUUUUGGUACCCAAAUGUCAAAUAUAUGUUUGUGCAAGCUCAUGUGUGUGCUCUUUUUGGUAUCCAAAUGUCAAAUAUAUGUUUGUGCAAGCUCAUGUGUGUGCUGUUUUUGCUAUCCAAAAGUCAAAUAUAUGUUUGUGCAAGCUCAUGGGUGUGCUGUUUUUGCUAUACAAAUGUCAAAUAUAUGUGUGUCCAAGCUCAUGUGUGUGUUGUUUUUGUGUGCUAGGCAAUGGAGCAUGAUAAGCAAGCGGAGGAGGAUCAUGAAGAGGUGGAAGAGGAUGAGGAGGAGGACAAGGAAGAGCAAGAUACUUUGUUUGAGGUGCCGCCCGGGGCUGGUGACAAAUCAGAUUCGGAUGGGUUUGUGGAUAGUGAAGAAGAAGCCUUCGAAGGUGAUGACAUGUCCGAGGAUGGUCUAGGCCUUGGUCCUACGCCUCAAGAGCAAGAAACUGUACUUCUUAGUUCGAGUGAGGAUGAAGCAAGAAAAGUCCAACGAAAGAGUGCCAAGAAGCGAAAAGGUCAAGCUCCUUCGAGGUUGAGGUCGGCGGUUUGGACCUUCUUUCAUAAGGUAGAGGUGCCAUCGAAAGAAGGUUUGAUGGAGUUGAAGGCACAAUGUAAUUAUUGUGACAAUCAAUAUGCAUAUGUCCAAGGUGGAAGCACCUCAUCCAUGGGAAGACAUAUGGACACAUGUAAGAAUUACAAGGACAAGGUUAAUAGGGAUCUCAUCCAAGCUACUCUAUUUUUUAGAAAAACCAAUGCAACAAGUGGUCCAGCUGUCCAAUUCAUUGAGUAUGAUAAGGACCUCAUAAAGGAGGUCAUGGCAAAGAUGAUUUGCGUCCAUGAGUACUCAUUUAGAAUGGUUGAACAUAAAUGGUUCAACAUUCUCAUGAAGUGCUUGAAUCCAAACUAUCAACCCAUUGGAAGGAAGGCAAUAAGAGCUGAAUGCAUGAGGGUUUUCAAGAAAGAAAGGGAGUUGCUUCAAGUUUCACUAAAGGAUGUGGACUUCAUUAGUCUGACAACCGACUUAUGGACUAGCAACCAGACCAUAUCAUAUAUGUGUGUAGUUGCACACUUUAUAGAUAAGGAUUGGAAGAUGCAAACACGUGUUCUUUCUUUCAUAUAUUUGGAUCCUCCUCACUCCAGGCAUGUGAUUUCAGAUGCUAUCUAUGAGUGUGUGACUGAAUGGAAGAUAGAGAAGAAAAUUAUAUCCAUCACACUAGACAAUGCUUCAAACAAUGAUGUUGCGGUCAGAGGUUUGAAGGCAAAGUUUGCUGUUCGGAGAGGUAUAUACUUGCUGUUUUUGUUGUACAUAUGUUCAUAUACUUGCUGUUUUGGUUGAAUAUAUGGUCAUAUUCUUGCUGUUUUUGUAGUACAUAUGCUUUGUUUGUCCAUCACACUAGACAAUGCUUCAAAUAUAUGGUUAUAUGCUUGUUGUUUUUGUUGUACAUAUGUUCAUAUACUUGCUGUUUUGGUUGAAUAUAUGGUCAUAUUCUUGUUGUUUUUGUAGUACAUAUGCUUUGUUUGUCCAAAUAAUGAUAUUUUGGUUUAACACAUGCUCAUAUGUGUGCUGUUUUGGUUGAAUAUAUUGUCAUAUGCUUGUUGGAAAUAUGCCCAAGAGGCAAUAAUAAAAGCAUUAUUAUUAUAUUUCCUUGUUCAUGAUAAUUGUCUUUAUUCAUGCUAUAAUUGUGUUAUCCGAAAAUUGUAAUACAUGUGUGAAUAACAGACACCAACAUGUCCCUAGUAAGCCUCUAGUUGACUAGCUCGUUGAUCAACAGAUAGUCAUGGUUUCCUGACUAUGGACAUUGGAUGUCAUUGAUAACGAGAUCACAUCAUUAGGAGAAUGAUGUGAUGGACAAGACCCAAUCCUAAACAUAGCUUAAAGAUCGUAUAGUUUGUUUGCUAGAGUUUUCCAAUGUCAAGUAUCUUUUCCUUAGACCAUGAGAUCGUGCAACUCCCGGAUACCGUAGGAGUGCUUUGGGUAUACCAAACGUCACAACGUAACUGGGUGACUAUAAAGGUAGACUACGGGUAUCUAUGAAAGUGUCUCUUGGGUUAACACGGAUCAAGACUGGGAUUUGUCACUCUGUAUAAUGGAGAGGUAUCAUUGGGCCCACUCGGUAAUGCAUCAUCAUAAUGAGCUCAAAGUGACCAAGUGUCUGGUCACGGGAUCAUGCAUUACAGUACGAGUAAAGUGACUUGCCGGUAAUGAGAUUGAACGAGGUAUUGGGAUACCGACGAUCGGAUCUCGGGCAAGUAACAUACCGAUUGACAAAGGGGACUGUAUACGGGGUUGCUUGAAUCCUCGACAUCGUGGUUCAUCCGAUGAGAUCAUCGUGGAGUAUGUGGGAACCAACAUGGGUAUCCAGAUCCCACUGUUGGUUAUUGACCGGAGAGUCGUCUCGGUCAUGUCUACAUAUCUCCCGAACCCGUAGGGUCUACACACUUAAGGUUCGGUGACACUAGGGUUGUAGGGAUAUGUAUAUGCAGUAACCCGAAUGUUGUUCGGAGUCCCGGAUGAGAUCCCCGACGUCACGAGGAGUUCCGGAAUGGUCCGGAGGUAAAGAAUUAUAUAUAGAAAGUGUUGUUUCAGCCAUCGGGACAAGUUUCGGGGUCACCGGUAUUGUACCGGGACCACCGGAAGGGUCCCGGGGGUCCACCGGGUGGGUCCACUUGCCCCGGGGGCCACAUGGGCUGUGAGGGGGUGCGCCUUGGCCUACAUGGGCCAAGGGCACGGGCCCCAAGGGGCCCAUGCGCCUAGGGUUUCCAAAGGGGAAGAGUCCCACAAGUGGAAGGCACCCCUAGGUGCCUUGGGGGGAGGGAAACCUCCCUUGGCGGCCGCCCCCCUAGGAGAUUGGAUCUCCUAGGGCCGGUGCCCCCCCCCCUCUAGGCCCUCCUAUAUAUAGUGGGGGAAGGAGGGCUUUUUCAUCCAUGCCUUUGGUUGCCUCCUUCUCCCUCUCCAACACCUCCUCCUCCAUAGCGCUUGGCGAAGCCCUGACGGAGUACUGCAGCUCCAUCACCACCACGCCAUCGUGCUGCUGCUGGAGCCAUCUUCCUCAACCUCUCCUUCCCUCUUGCUGGAUCAAGAAGAAGGAGACGUUACGCUGACCGUACGUGUGUUGAACGCGGAGGUGCCGUCCGUUCGGUGCUAGGAUCUCCGGUGAUUUGGAUCACGUCAUGUUCGACUACCUCAUCCCCGUUCUUUGAACGCUUCCGCUCGCGAUCUACAAAGGUAUGUAGAUGCAUCCGAUCACUCGUUGCUAGAUGAACUCAUAGAUGGAUCUUGGUGAAACCAUAGGAAAAUUUUUGUUUUCUGCAACGUUCCCCAAUAGUGGCAUCAUGAGCUAGGUCUAUGCGUAGUUCUCUUGCGCGAGUAGAACACAAUUUGUUGUGGGCAUAGAUGUUGUCAACUUUCUUGCCGUUACUAGUCUUAUCUUGCUUCAACGGUAUUGUGGGAUGAAGCGGCCCGGACCAACCUUACACGUACGCUUACGUGAGACCGGUUCCAUCGACUAACAUGCACUAGUUGCAUAAGGUGGCUGGCGGGUGUCUGUCUCUCCUACUUUAGUUGGAGUGGAUUCUAUGAAAAGGGUCCUUAUGAAGGGUAAAUAGAAGUUGACAAAUCACGUUGUGGCUUUCACGUAGGUAAGAAAACGUUCUUGCUAGAACCCUAUUGCAGCCACGUAAAACUUGCAACAACAAUUAGAGGACGUCUAACUUGUUUUUGCAGCAAGUGCUUUGUGAUAUGAUAUGGCCAAAGUUGUGAUGAAUGAUGAAUGACAUAUAUGUGAUGUAUGAGAUGUUCAUGCUAUUGUAAUAGGAAUCACGACUUGCAUGUCGAUGAGUAUGACAACCGGCAGGAGCCAUAGGAGUUGUCUUUAUUUUUGUAUGACCUGCGUGUCAUUGAGAAACGCCAUAUAAAUUACUUUACUUUAUUGCUAAACGCGUUAGCCAUAGUAGUAGAAGUAAUAGUUGGCGAGCAACUUCAUGGAGACACAAUGAUGGAGAUCAUGAUGAUGAAGAUCAUGGUGUCAAGCCGGUGACAAGAUGAUCAUGGAGCCCCAAGAUGGAGAUCAAAGGAGCUAUGUGAUAUUGGCCAUAUCAUGUCACUAUUAUUAUUUGAUUGCAUGUGAUGUUUAUCAUGUUUUUGCAUCUUGUUUACUUAGAACGAUGGUAGUAAAUAAGAUGAUCCCUCAUAAUAAUUUCAAGAAAGUGUUCCCCCUAACUAUGCACCGUUGCGACAGUUCGUUGUUUCGAAGCACCACAUGAUGAUCGGGUGUGAUAGAUUCUAACGUUCACAUACAACGGGUGUAAGACAGAUUUACACAUGCAAACACUUAGGUUGACUUGACGAGCCUAGCAUGUGUAUAGACAUGGCCUCGGAACACAGAAGACCGAAAGGUCGAGCAUGAGUCGUAUAGAAGAUACGAUCAACAUGAAGAUGUUCACCGACGUUGACUAGUCCGUCUCACGUGAUGAUCGGACACGGCCUAGUUGACUCGGAUCAUGUUAUACUUAGAUGACUAGAAGAGGGAUGUCUAUCUAAGUGGGAUUUCAUUGAAUAAUUUGAUUAGAUGAACUUAAUUAUCAUGAACUUAGUCUAAAAUCUUUACAAUAUGUCUUAUAGAUCAAAUGGCCAACGUUGUCCUCAACUUCAACGCGUUCCUAGAGAAAACCAAGCUGAAAUACGAUGGCAGCAACUAUACGGACUGGGUCCGGAACCUGAGGAUCAUCCUCAUAGCUGCCAAGAAAGAUUAUGUCCUACAAGCACCGCUAGGUGAUCCACCCGUCCCACAUAACCAAGACGUUAUGAACACUUGGCAGACACGUGCUGAUGACUACUCCCUCGUUCAGUGCGGCAUGCUUUACAGCUUAGAGCCGGGGCUCCAAAAGCGUUUUGAGAGACAUGGAGCAUAUGAGAUGUUCGAAGAGCUGAAAAUGGUUUUUCAAGCUCAUGCCCGAAUCGAGAGAUAUGAGGUCUCCGACAAGUUCUUCAGCUGUAAGAUGGAGGAAAAUAGUUCUGUAGUGAGCACAUACUCACUAUGUCUGGGUUACAUAACCGCUUGACUCAGCUGGGAGUUAAUCUCCCGGAUGACGCGGUCAUUGACAGAAUCCUCCAGUCGCUUCCACCAAGCUACAAGAGCUUUGUGAUGAACUUCAAUAUGCAGGGGAUGCAAAAGACCAUUCCUGAGGUAUUUGCAAUGCUGAAAUCAGCAGAGGUAGAAGUCAAGAAGGAACAUCAAGUGUUGAUGGUAAAUAAAACCACUAAGUUCAAGAAGGGCAAGGGUAAAAAGAACUCCAAGAAGGACGGCAAGGAAGUUGCCGUGCCUAGCAAGAAAGCUGCCGGGAAGAAGCCAAAGAAUGGACCCAAGCCCGAGACUGAGUGCUUUUAUUGCAAGGGAAGUGGUCACUGGAAGCGAAACUGCCCCAAAUACUUAGCGGACAAGAAGGCCGGCAAAACAAAAGGUAUAUGUGAUAUACAUGUAAUUGAUGUAUACCUUACCAGUACUCGUAGUAGCUCUUGGGUAUUUGAUACCGGUGCAGUUUCUCACAUUUGUAACUCAAAGCAGGAGCUGCGGAAUAAGCGGAGACUGGCGAGGGACGAGGUGACGAUGCGCGUCGGGAAUGGUUCCAAGGUCGAUGUGAUCACCGUCGGCACGCUACCUCUACAUUUACCUACGGGAUUAGUUUUGAACCUCAAUAAUUGUUAUUUAGUGCCAAGUCUGAGCAUGAACAUUGUAUCAGGAUCUCGUUUAAUUCGAGAUGGCUACUCAUUUAAAUCCGAGAAUAAUGGUUGUUCCAUUUAUAUGAGAGAUAUGUUUUAUGGUCAUGCUCCUAUGGUGAAUGGUUUAUUCUUAAUGAAUCUCGGGCGUAAUGCUACACAUAUUCAUAGUGUGAGUACCAAAAGAUGUAAGGUUGAUAAUGAUAGUCCCACAUACUUGUGGCACUGCCGCCUUGGUCACAUAGGUGUCAAACGCAUGAAGAAGCUCCAUGCAGAUGGACUUUUAGAGUCUCUUGAUUAUGAAUCAUUUGACACGUGCGAACCAUGCCUCAUGGGUAAAAUGACCAAGACUCCGUUCUCAGGAACAAUGGAGCGAGCAACCAACUUAUUGGAAAUCAUACAUACUGAUGUGUGCGGCCCAAUGAGUGUUGAGGCUCGCGGUGGCUAUCGUUAUGUUCUCACCCUCACUGAUGACUUGAAUAGAUAUGGGUAUGUCUACUUAAUGAAACACAAGUCUGAAACCUUUGAAAAGUUCAAGGAAUUUCAGAGUGAAGUUGAGAAUCAACGUGACAGGAAAAUCAAGUUUCUACGAUCAGAUCGUGGAGGAGAAUACUUGAGUCACGAAUUUGGCACACACUUAAGAAAAUGUGGAAUAGUUUCACAACUCACGCCGCCUGGAACACCUCAGCGUAAUGGUGUGUCCGAACAUCGUAAUCGCACUCUAUUAGAUAUGGUGCGAUCUAUGAUGUCUCUUGCCGAUUUACCGCUAUCUUUUUGGGGCUAUGCUUUAGAGACUGCCGCAUUCACUUUAAAUAGGGCUCCGUCGAAAUCCGUUAAGAUGACACCGUUUGAAUUAUGGUUUGGUAAGAAACCUAAGUUAUCGUUUCUAAAAGUUUGGGGAUGCGAUGCUUAUGUCAAGAAACUUCAACCUGAAAAGCUCGAACCCAAGUCGGAAAAAUGCGUCUUCAUAGGAUACCCUAAAGAAACUGUUGGGUAUACCUUCUACCUCAGAUCCUAAGGCAAGAUCUUUGUUGCCAAGAAUGGAUCCUUUCUAGAGAAGGAGUUUCUCUCGAAAGAAGUAAGUGGGAGGAAAGUAGAACUUGAUGAAGUAUUACCUCUUGAACCGGAAAAUGGCGCAACUCAAGAAAAUGUUCCUGAGGUGCCUGCACCGACUAGAGAGGAAGUUAAUGAUAAUGAUCAAGAUACUUCUGAUCAAGCUCCUACUGAAAUUCGAAGGUCCACAAGGACACGUUCCGCACCAGAGUGGUACGGCAACCCUGUCUUGGAAAUCAUGUUGUUAGACAACGGUGAACCUUCGAACUAUGAAGAAGCGAUGGCGGGCCCGGAUUCCGACAAAUGGCUAGAAGCCAUGAAAUCCGAGAUAGGAUCCAUGUAUGAAAACAAAGUAUGGACUUUGACUGACUUGCCCGUUGAACGGCGAGCCAUAGAAAAUAAAUGGAUCUUUAAGAAGAAGACAGACGCGGAUGGUAAUGUGACCAUCUAUAAAGCUCGGCUUGUCGCUAAGGGUUAUCGACAAGUUCAAGGGGUUGACUACGAUGAGACUUUCUCACCGGUAGCGAAGCUAAAGUCCGUCCGAAUCAUGUUAGCAAUUACCGCAUUCUACGAUUAUGAGAUAUGGCAAAUGGACGUCAAAACGGCAUUCCUUAAUGGUUUCCUUAAGGAAGAAUUGUAUAUGAUGCAGCCGGAAGGUUUUGUCGAUCCUAAGAAUGCUGACAAGGUGUGCAAGCUCCAACGCUCGAUUUAUGGGCUGGUGCAAGCAUCUCGGAGUUGGAACAUUCGCUUUGAUGAGAUGAUCAAAGCGUUUGGGUUUACGCAGACUUGUGGAGAAGCCUGCGUUUACAAGAAAGUGAGUGGGAGCUCUGUAGCAUUUCUCAUAUUAUAUGUAGAUGACAUACUUUUGAUGGGAAAUGAUAUAGAACUCUUGGACAGCAUCAAGGCCUACUUGAAUAAGAGUUUUUCUAUGAAGGACCUUGGUGAAGCUGCUUAUAUAUUAGGCAUCAAGAUCUAUAGAGAUAGAUCAAGACGCCUCAUAGGUCUUUCACAAAGCACAUACCUUGAUAAGAUAUUGAAGAAGUUCAAUAUGGAUCAAUCUAAGAAGGGGUUCUUGCCUGUGUUACAAGGUAUGAAAUUGAGCUCAGCUCAAUGUCCGACCACGGCAGAAGAUAUAAAAGAGAUGAGUGUCAUCCCCUAUGCCUCAGCCAUAAGUUCUAUUAUGUAUGCCAUGCUGUGUACCAGACCUGAUGUAAACCUUGCCGUAAGUUUGGUAGGAAGGUACCAAAGUAAUCCCGUCAAGGAACACUGGAGAGCGGUCAAGAAUAUCCUGAAGUACCUGAAAAGAACUAAGGAAAUGUUUCUCAUUUAUGGAGGUGACGAAGAGCUCGUCAUAAAGGGUUACGUCGACGCUAGCUUCGACACAGAUCUGGAUGACUCUAAGUCACAGACCGGAUACGUGUAUAUUUUGAAUGGUGGGGCAGUAAGCUGGUGCAGUUGCAAGCAGAGCGUCGUGGCGGGAUCUACAUGUGAAGCGGAGUACAUGGCAGCCUCGGAGGCAGCACAUGAAGCAAUAUGGGUGAAGGAGUUCAUCACCGACCUAGGAGUCAUACCCAAUGCGUCGGGGCCAAUCAAACUCUUCUGUGACAACACUGGAGCUAUUGCACUUGCCAAGGAGCCCAGGUUUCACAAGAAGACAAGGCACAUCAAGCGUCGCUUCAACUCCAUUCGUGAAAAUGUUCAAGAUGGAGACAUAGAUAUUUGUAAAGUGCAUACGGACCUGAAUGUAGCAGAUCCGUUGACUAAACCUCUCCCUAGGGCAAAACAUGAUCAACACCAGAAUUCCAUGGGUGUUCGAUUCAUCACAAUGUAACUAGAUUAUUGACUAGUGCAAGUGGGAGACUGUUGGAAAUAUGCCCUAGAGGCAAUAAUAAAAGCAUUAUUAUUAUAUUUCCUUGUUCAUGAUAAUUGUCUUUAUUCAUGCUAUAAUUGUGUUAUCCGGAAAUCGUAAUACAUGUGUGAAUAACAGACACCAACAUGUCCCUAGUAAGCCUCUAGUUGACUAGUUUGUUAAUCAACAGAUAGUCAUGGUUUCCUGACUAUGGACAUUGGAUGUCAUUGAUAACGAGAUCACAUCAUUAGGAGAAUGAUGUGAUGGACAAGACCCAAUCCUAAACAUAGCUUAAAGAUCGUAUAGUUCGUUUGCUAGAGUUUUCCAAUGUCAAGUAUCUUUUCCUUAGACCAUGAGAUCGUGCAACUCCCGGAUACCGUAGGAGUGCUUUGGGUAUACCAAACGUCACAACGUAACUGGGUGACUAUAAAGGUAGACUACGGGUAUCUCCGAAAGUGUCUGUUGGGUUAACACGGAUCAAGACUGGGAUUUGUCACUCCGUAUAACGGAGAGGUAUCACUGGGCCCACUCGGUAAUGCAUCAUCAUAAUGAGCUCAAAGUGACCAAGUGUCUGGUCACGGGAUCAUGCAUUACGGUACGAGUAAAGUGACUUGCCGGUAACGAGAUUGAACGAGGUAUUGGGAUACCGACGAUCGGAUCUCGGGCAAGUAACAUACCGAUUGACAAAGGGAACUGUAUACGGGGUUGCUUGAAUCCUCGACAUCGUGGUUCAUCCGAUGAGAUCAUCGUGGAGUAUGUGGGAGCCAACAUGGGUAUCCAGAUCCCGCUGUUGAUUAUUGACCGGAGAGUCGUCUCGGUCAUGUCUACAUAUCUCCCGAACCCGUAGGGUCUACACACUUAAGGUUCGGUGACACUAGGGUUGUAGGGAUAUGUAUAUGCAGUAACCCAAAUGUUGUUCGGAGUCCCGGAUGAGAUCCCGGACGUCACGAGGAGUUCCGGAAUGGUCCGGAGGUAAAGAAUUAUAUAUAGGAAGUGCUGUUUCGGCCAUCGGGACAAGUUUCGGGGUCACCGGUAUUGUACCGGGACCACCGGAAGGGUCCCGGGGGUCCACCGGGUGGGUCCACCUGCCCCGGGGGCCACAUGGGCUGUGAGGGGGUGCGCCUUGGCCUACAUGGGCCAAGGGCACCGGCCCCAAGGGGCCCAUGCGCCUAGGGUUUCCAAAGGGGAAGAGUCCCACAAGUGGAAGGCACCCCUAGGUGCCUUGGGGGGGAGGGAAACCUCCCUUGGCCGCCGCCCCCCUAGGAGAUUGGAUCUCCUAGGGCCGGCGCCCCCCCCCCCCCUAGGCCCUCCUAUAUAUAGUGGGGGAAGGAGGGCUUUUUCAUCCAUGCCUUUGGUUGCCUCCUUCUCCCUCUCCAACACCUCCUCCUCCUCCAUAGCGCUUGGCGAAGCCCUGACGGAGUACUGCAGCUCCAUCACCACCACGCCGUCGUGCUGCUGCUGGAGCCAUCUUCCUCAAUCUCUCCUUCCCUCUUGCUGGAUCAAGAAGAAGGAGAUGUUACGCUGACCGUACGUGUGUUGAACGCGGAGGUGCCGUCCGUUCGGUGCUAGGAUCUCCGGUGAUUUGGAUCACGUCGUGUUCGACUACCUCAUCCCCGUUCUUUGAACGCUUCCGCUCGCGAUCUACAAAGGUAUGUAGAUGCAUCCGAUCACUCGUUGCUAGAUGAACUCAUAGAUGGAUCUUGGUGAAACCGUCGGAAAAUUUUUGUUUUCUGCAACGUUCCCCAACAAUGCUUGCUGUUUUUUUUAGGUACGGACUUUGAAGCCAAAUAUUUCCAUGUCCGUUGUUGUGCACACAUUAUCAACUUGGUGGUGCAAGAUGGGACAACCAUCAUGGCCCCUUUGAUAGAGAAUUUGAGAGAGACGGUUAAGUAUUUCAAGAAGUCACCGAGUCGCCUCCACAAGUUUGUUGAGACUUGCAAAAUAUUGGGUGUUGAGGUUGGCAACCAUUUGCAUCUUGAUUGUGUCACGCGGUGGAGUUCAACGUACCAGAUGCUUGAUACAGCUUGCCCGUAUAGGGAAGCCUUGUCCUCUUAUGCAGCUUCAAAUGCCAACUAUCAAUGGGAGCCGGAAAAAGAAGAAUGGGACAAGUUUGAAGUUAUUAAGCCAUUGCUCCUCUCUUUAUCUCGUGUGACAACUGCGUUUUCAAGGCAAUUAUAUCCCACCUCCAACAUAUUCUACCCUCACAUUGUCAGCAUCAAGAUUACUUUGAGAAAAGCCAUGGCUCAUGAUGAUGAAUGCUACAAGAAAAUGGGUGAUGCAAUGAUGGAUAAAUUUGACAAGUAUUGGGAUGAGCCGAACAAUGUCAUGGUGCUUGCUACCAUCUUGGACCCAAGGUACAAGAUGAGGUAUGUUGAGUGGUGCUAUCACCAAAUGUAUGAUGUGGGGAAAGCAAAUACUGAGAAGAAUAUUGUGCGCGGAGAGUUGGACACAUUGUAUGAGAAGUUUGUUGCGAAAAAUAAGAAAGCUGAAGAAAGAGCUAGUGGAUCAUCAGCCAAGAACAAUUGCAACACAAGUACCUCGAUGCCACUUAUGGAUUGUGAGUUUCGGUCCUUCUUAUCAGCAACUUCAUCAACACCAUCAAAAAGUGAGCUUAGAAACUAUCUAGAUGACUUGAAUGAGGCAAUGGAUCCUAUGUUCAAUCUUCUUGAUUGGUGGAGGGUAAAUGCACCUAGAUACCCCGUAUUGGCAAUGAUGGCAAAGAGGUUCUUGACUGUCCCGGCUACCUCCGUGUCUUCGGAAUCAACUUUUAGCACGGGUGGAAGAGUUUUAGGUAUGUCUACUUGUUACAUUGGAUGUUAACUUGUCAUCCUAUCCUUGAACUUAGAUAUGUCUACUUGUGUGGUUUUAGAUGACUACAAGAGUUCUCUAAAACCAGAAAUGGUGGAAGCCUUGGUGUGUGGUGCUAGUUAUAUCAAAGGUUCUCACAAGGACUUCAUGUGAUGGUAUGACUCCUAUCUUUUCUUCUAUGGUUUCUGUCUAUUUCUUGUAUGUGGCUAACUUCCAAAUAAUUAGGAGAGAGAUGAAGAUGAGGAGGACGAUGUUGAGAAUAUCAAGUUGCCCAAGAUUGUUGAUGUGGGGGAUAACAACAAUUGGUAACUAUUCUUUUGACAUGUUUUAGUUUUCAUAUCUUUACAUGAUCCCAAUAUGUUUCCAAAUCUGUGUUACAUGUAGAUAAUCGUCAUGUUGGUGUUGCUCUUGCUACUUUGAAGGUGGAUGUCUACAUGAUCUUGUCAUGUGGAUUGUUGAGGGCAACGUGAUCGUCUCGAGCCAUUUCUUUUGUUGUCAUGAACUUCGAAUUAUGUGUUUGUUGUGAUGAAGUUUGGAUUAUGUGUUUGUUGUGAUGAACUACGGUCCUUGAAUGAUGUUGCGUUGAACCAUGCACUUUUAACGAUGUUGUUGUGAACUAGUGAUGAACUAUGAACUUGGUAUUAUGUAGUUUUCGCUAGUCAUUGUUUCGCUGUCAACAUUUUCUCGGUUUUUAUGUCAAAGUGGUAAGUUUUGUGCUAUGCAAAAUUUCUUCGUGUGGCUGUCAAUAUUUGAUGCUUUGCUGUGUAAAGUUCAAAGCAAGUGUUGUCCAAAAAUAGAAAUGCUGGUGAAUUCUUUCUCUCAUAUCUAUUCCAUUAUUACAAUUUUGGUAGAAGAAUUCAUAGACGAAAGCUUAUUUUUCAUUACUAUGAACUUUUCUUAAAAUAAUAGACUGCUGAAUGUUCCACUUUUAGCAAUAUAAACAGUUUGCUUUUCAAAAUAUGGGUUUAAUUGCUGCAAAAAAAAUCAAGACUGGACUAUAUACAGAGGUUCUGUACUUCUGGGGGCAAAUGGCUUUCGAGCCGGCUCGGUAUGAGCCGAGCCAUAGCUGAAGCGAGUCGAGCCGCCUGAAGUCGGCUCGUUGGCUGAGCGAGCCGAGCCGAGCCGCUCCAGAGCGAGCCAAAGCCAGGCUCGGAUCAAGCUCGGCUCGGCUCGGCUCGUGUCCAGUCCUACCGACUAGCCCAGACCCGUCAUCAUGGAUUGCAGGCAGCCAGCGGUCCAGGUUGUCGAGGUGGCUGUAAGUAUCAAGCGCUCUGCCCGACCGUCCAGCAGAGUCACCUAGAGUGUAUGUGUACCUGAGCCUCCGAUCACUCACUUUCUGGGCACGAGAUUUGAGGCCCUGGAUAUCGGUAGCCAUCUUGUGCCGCACCCUCAAUGUUCGCACCAUGUUGAACAUCCUAUGGAGGUAUUCCAGGAGUCCUUGACGGUCUCCAUGAUUCUCGCUGAGGUGAUGGCAGAACCUGUCCAUACAGUCCUCCACAUCAAACGCGGCCUCCCUCACUUGUUUCAUCCAAGUCCUAGUCUGCACGUAUAUGAAUGAGCACAUCAGUUAAUCAUGCCAGUGUUUGUCUCGUCUCAUUACAAGAGACAUGUUUUCCUUGCUAUCAAAGAGUUCAACUAAAAAGAUCCAUCAACUAGCAUUUGCAGUACUUGUUCGUUGUGAUCAUCAUCGUCUGCGAGGUCGCGGAGGCACGCAGUCAUGCUCUCGAGCACAUCCUUGAGCUCCUGGAUCUCCCCACGAAUGCCGCGGAGAAGCGUGUAUUUGGUGGCGAGGAUGUUGCCGAGCUUCCUCAACAGGAUCUGCACGGCGCCGUGGGAGGCGCUCACCACGGCCUCCAUCACAGUCGCUCGAUCUGCCAUGUUAAUUUUCGUUGGCAUUUCUUAGUAUGAAAAUGCCAAAGCACAUCAACCAUAACUUGAUUCCGUGUAAGUACGUAAGGCAUUACCUUUGGUUUGUGCUGCACAUUCAUUCAGACUUGAAACAUCUGGAUCUGUUCCAUCUAUGUGGUAGCGUUUACAUCUUUCAAAAGUCAACUCUGUUUCCCAAGGAUGAGCAGGUGAAUCAGUUCGGGCACACCCGCUCGACAGGCCACCAGCUCCUGGAUGCCCACAGCCGGCUAGCCCAUCGCUAAGAGAGGUGAAAAUUGAAGUUCUUACUAUUGGUGAACCAUACCAUCGUACUCUAAAACAACCAAACUAGCUCAAAAGAUUUAUCUGCUGCGAUGCGAGGUAAAUAAGAAGUGUGCCCGAACCGCAGGAGAAGAGAGCGCGCACCACAGAUCAAGUUCCCCGACCAACAAUGCACCCAAGAUUUCCGCAACCAAGCUGGUUAGAUCUCAAGCCUGGAACAACAACAAUAGAUCAAGAACUCACUCGGACCAAAAAAACACAAACUUCCAAUUCAAAAGCUUAACCCAGGGGAGAGAAGAGAAAAAGGCAAACCUUGACAGAAAUCAACAGCCACUUCUUGUUCAACCGCAAUGAAGAAUGGAGUCGCUGGAAUACCACACCAAGAAAAGAGAUUAAGACUAGUUGGUCCAGAUGGACAGGGGAUGACCAAGUAAGGCUGAGUAGUGUGGUUAGGAGCUACCGUAGGUUAGCAGUGUCUAUUUUACCAUUGUUGAACAUGCCAUUGAACUGGAGAAUCCAAACUAGCUCAAAAGAUUUACCUGCUGCGAUGCUAGGUAAACAAGAGCUGUAGCAGCUCGGUCGAUCUGCAGGUAAAUAAUAUUUCUGCAACCAAAUGCAAGCUGGCUCGAUCACAAGUCUGGAACAACAACAAUAGAUCAAGUACUCAAUCAGACCAGAAAAGCACAAAUUCCAAUUCAAAAGCUCAACCCAAGGGAGAGAAGGGGAAAAAAGAACAAACCUUGAUAGAAAUCAACAACCACUUCUUGUUCAGCCGCAUUGAAGAAUGGAGUCGCCAAAGAUACAACACCAAGAAACGAGAUCAGAGAUGUCGAUGGGACUACCAAGUAAGGCUGAGGAGCGUGGUUAGGAGGUCAACGGGCGAGGCAGGUUGUGUCUAUUUUAUGGCUAAUGAAUUGGUUACAUCAUUAACAGAGGAGGCAACAGCUACUAGUAGCACUACGCCAGCAUAUAAUAUGGCUUUGCAUGGAAGGAUUAGUCAUUUGUUUUCUUAGAGCAUCUCCAACAGGGCCCCUACACCAGCAGGUUGUUGGCCUCUAAAUUAUUUCUUAGGUGCUCCCUCCUUUUUUUCAUGGAUGGUUUGUUUAUUUAAAAUAACACUCUCUCGGAUUGACCUGCAGGCGUUGAACCAAUCAGCAGAAGAACAACUCAUCGCCCAGUUCAGCAUUGAUGAUUGCUUCCUACACGAGUGAGAGGUUAAGCGGAUAGCGGAGACAGUGAUAGUUGAACCACCUGUAGGGAUGCAGGCAGACAUGUCCACGUAGUCCGUGUAAGGGUAAUUACAGUGAUAAUUACAGCAGCAGCAGAUUAGUACGUCUUCAUCCUUUUGUUGUUUCAUGUCGAAGUAGCUAGCAUCCUGAACAAUCUGGGAGGCAGCUCUUGUUCUGUUGAACCCACGUUUUCUGCCUCUCAGACUGUUUUGAACCCUGCAUAUUAAUGUCAGGCUGCUUUGAACCCCUAUCUCAGGCUAGCUACUCCACAUGAAACACCAAAAGGAACAACAAAAGCAUCCUUGGCAUUGCGGAGGGGACUCUUUUUCUCCUUUUUGCUCCGAGAGAUGUCAAUGUAUACAUAAAGAGAAGAAUUUGCUGGAGACUAGUGGUGCUCAUAGUGGCCACAGUUGCAGUUUGGUUGGAAGCCAGGAGCAUGAUAUCACAAACUCAAAUGUAUGGUAACAAUUGGUUGACCAUGUUUUAUAACUGCAUAAUAAUCCAGUGUACAAAUCUGUAGUUGGUUAACUGGCCACCACAUUACACCAAAAUUGAAUCUUUUGCCACAACACAAGCAGAUCACAGAGCCAAGGAAGGGCAGUGCACCAUAGUACUUCUAACAAGAAACCAAAUGCAUGUCAGCACAUGUUUCUUAUCUGAUUUUUCAAAAUAUUUUAUUCCACAUUUCGUGUUAGGGACAGAAAAUUCAUCAACAAAAUAAGAGUGAAGGCAACUAAGAGAAUCCAGCAUUGUGACCUUUGAGCCUGAAAAGAUUCAAUUGGCACUGACAGUCCCACAAUGCUCGCAGCAAUCAACCAUGGUGGUCAUAUGGUUCAUACAUUCAGCAGUGCCUGCAGAUAUGAGGAGCAGAAUUAAAUUUGCAUACAUAAUGCACAAUUACUUCCUUCUUUCUAUGGAAUAGUGGAACGCAGCAUUUGUGAUAUAUGUGCGAAUAAGAAAAUUAAUAUACACCAACACACAAGGAUUCAGUUCCAUUCAAGGUAGAGCGGCCUUUAUUUUAUCCAUACGGAACACAGCAGAAAGUAGACAUUUGCAUAUACAUCUGAAAUCGAUAACUCGACUUGCUGACAAAUGGACAGUUGUAAAUCCAGAAAUGUGCAGUUGCGAUUAAACAGCAAGGGUUAUUAGGAUCACAGCGAAACAAUGCAAUCAAAUGUCACACAUUGCUUACUAGGAUCACAGCGAAAUAAUGCAAUCAAAUGGCACACAUUGCAUCAUAAUGAAAUGCGAUUGUGGGUACAUUACUGGAUUAGACAGCAAGGCAUUGCAUCAUAAUGAAAUGUGAUGGGCAACAUCCUAGGUAGCAACAACCAUAUAGGUGAAAGGGCCAUCAGUUUCUCGACAAUUUCACUACAGCAAGUCAUCAAUGUGCCGGCUCAAGCUAAUCUGAGUUCCCAAUUCCGCGAGAGAGAUCUCAUCUCACCUCGAAAUGCAGGGGCCGAUCAGUCCAUGACGACCUUGGCGCCGAGGGCCUUCAUCCGCUCAACGAUCUUCUCGGCCUCCUCCUUGGACAACCCUCCCUUGAUCACGGCAGGGGCCUUCUCCACCAGCUCCUUGGCCUCCUUGAGCCCGAGGUCCGUGAACGUCCGGAUCUCCUUGAUCACCUUGAUCUUGCUCGCCGCGUCGAACGAGUCGAGCCGCAGCUCGAAGACCGUCUUCUCGGCCGCGGCCGCCGGCUUGUCGCCGGCCGCGCCGGCGGCCGCCGCGCCGCCGCCGCCGAGGCCCGCGGCGGAGUUGAGGAUGGCGAUGGGCGGCGCGGAGGGGAUGUCGAGGCGGCGGAGCAGGAGGGCGGAGAGCUCGGCGGCCUCUGCGAGGGUGAGGGCGGAGACGUCGUCGACCAGGCGCCAGACGCGGUCGGAGGGCGGCGGGCGGGACGGCGGCGCGGUCGGGUCGAAGGUGGAGGGGUCGUAGUCGGUGGGCAGCUUGCGCACGUCGAUGAGCUCCUCGGCGGCCGCCGUGGAGAAGGCCGCGGGGAGGCGGCCGCGGUGGUGGCGGAGGAGGCGCUGGCCGGAGCGGAGGAGGGAGGAGGCCAUGGUGGAGAGGGAGGUUAGGGUUCUGGGUCCAGUGGGAGCGAUGCUCUGUGGGAAUUGGGUUUUGGAAAUGAAACCAUGGCCUGUGACUUUGGAUCUGGACUUAGGCCCAUGAAGUAAACCCAGCCCAAUGAGCCCAUUAUGUUACAUGAGGUCAUGCUUCUCUCUCAAAAAAUAAAGCAGCAGUAGUAUAUAAUCUCAAAAAAUUGAAAAUAAAUCAAUCAAAAUCAGCUAAAAAACACAAGAUUUUGACAAAAAAGGAUCAAAAACACAAGACAGAUUAUAUGUUGUUUUUAAGAAGCAAGUGAACCGAAUUAUAUACAACAAAUGAGGACACAUUUAGAAGCCAUUGCCUAUAAGAUUAAUAGCAUUUUCAUCGCAAGUGAUUCAACAGCAUGAACGCAGGAAAUGAUGUGAUGUAAUUGUUUUGGAUCAUCAGGCGAGCUACGACAUGGGUAAAUGAAUUUAAGUGUGGUGUUUACACCGUGAUAUCUGAUACACUGGCCAUCAAAUAGGCAUAUACAAUGUUGCAGUUCACCAAACUAGACAGUAAUAGUAGUAACUAACAACAAAAACGGAUAACGAUGAGACUCCAUUGUUCCAUCAUGUUAAGGGGAAAUCUUGCAUAUGCUUGGUUCAUCUGACAUUAGCUCCUUCCAUCACAAGAUGCAGCAUGUUGCGUUCAUCAGACUCUCCUUCCAUCAGAACUCAGAAAAUGUGGACGAUAUCGUACGCAAAUCUGGUAGAUGUCAAGGAUGAACUCAAGCAAAAAUAUAUCAACAGAGGAACGGUUAAAAUAGGAUGGGGGUGGGUACACAAAAGCAGUAAAAGGGCUUGAUAUAUUCAAAAAGAAUAGCACAUAUUAAUUUAUCAAGGAUACGUCCAGAACAGCACGAAGGACUGCAAAUGAAAAAUUCACGAUGUUAGAACAUCACGCAAAGCAAAAGCUCAUUGUAGUGAGCAAAUAUUAUAAGAUAAACUUGAAAACGAGAACAUAAAGAAUACAAAUGGCAAUUGAGUAGAAUGAACAGUUGUGUUUGGAUCAUUUUGAAACAUCUAUCGACGGACAUGAGUGGCCAUUAUAACAUAGAUACUAUAGAUAAUAUUCCUCCCAAGUUUCACUAUUAUUCAUGAUUGUGGCCCUACUGCAUUAUCUAAAGCUACAAUUAAUCUUUCAACAUAGUGUCAAAUUAGACUUGUACAUACUUGUAUAACUCCUAGUCCUAACUUCAGGUUUUUACAGCCGUACCAAAUAAGAACUCAUCUGGAUCCAACUCAAUAUUCAAUAGCUUCCUAGAUUAAUUUAGACUAAAACCAAAGACGGGUAAUAGUGUUUGUACAUGACAUAUUUCAACAGUAUAUAAAAUAGCAUCCAAGGGUCAAAAUGUUUAUGCAGUUAGGGUGUAAACCACAGAAUACUCAUGAUGGCAACAAUGCUUACCAUAAGGCCGGCCAAAACCCCUUCGACUAAAAUCCUGCUCCAACUAUCAAAGUACGUGUGGACUGAGAACUUUGACUUUGCCAAGAGCCCAAUAGAUGCUACCAUCAUUAUCAGAAAGUAGAAGACGAAGCCCGUCAGACCCGUGAACCCCCAGAUACCAGCAACAACUCCACUGAUGAUCGACAAGAAUGUCCGACUGUAAAACGAACAAAUCAUCAUGUUCAGGACAAACCAUGUUUGGUUAAAUAGCAGAUAACGUCUAGGGUAAUUCCUUAUAGUCGAAAAGGUGUUAUCACCAAAAUGGAAACAGGAAACUGGAUAGUGUACAUCACACAGAAAACAAUCAGUGCUUGAAGCCUGUAACUACAGUAUUAUGUAUGUCCACCACCAACCAAACAAGUUAAAAUAGUUAUUGAACUGUAAUUAGACUGUCUAUAAACAGCUUUCCAUACGAGUCUCAAGCACAGAGAGCCAACAAGAGCAUCACUUCUAUACCACUUGAAAACUAGAUACACCUAGUGGAUCUACCAUCUAAGAGGCAUGCCCACCAGAUCAAAUCACUUCACCAGUUUAGCUUUGCUGUUCACCAAUUUUAAGGCUGUUCCGGGUACAGUGCAUCUCAACCUAGCAGGAAAAUCUAAGCAAAUCCUUUUAAAUCAGCCCACCACCCAGCUACCAAAGGUUCCAAUUCACUGUGUAAAGUUGUUAGCGCAUCAUAGUUCCAGGAGAACCACUAAUUCCAAAGUCGUCGUCCCCUUGCUCAAAAACGAAAAAAAAAAAUCAACUCCCCUCGUCCCUUCCCUCGAAUACUUGUACUAGAACAUCCAGCGGCCAGCAAUUACGCUAAUGAUCCACGAGAUACGCUCGGAUCAAACCUGAACAAGCUAAAAAAAUCCUAAACUGAGCACACCUCCAGAGUCCAGAUCAGAUCGAGUUCACCGCCGAACCCAACGGGAAGAGAAGGGGGGUGCGCGGAAGAGAGGGGCGCGUACCUGUAGAGGAUGGACCUGACGUUGCUGGUGAGGUUCUCCGCCUGGAUGACGGGGACAUCGUCGGAGGAGGUGCCGCCGGCCGCCGCCAUCGCCGCGAAAUCUCUCUUUUCUCCGGGCGAGAUUUGGGGGCGGAGAGUCUGGCGCGGCAGCGAUCUGGACGGCUCGACUGCACAGGGACGGGGUUGGGUCGUAGUGUUUUUUUUUUUCUGAGGGAGGUCUUAGGGGGUUUUUCGCCUGCUGGUCCUCGGCCUUUUCUCUUUUUCAGGAAUCCUACCGUCUACUUCUUUUUAGGGAAAUCCUAUCGUAUACUACUUGUUUUGAAGAGUUGCUUGGAAAAAAUAUGAGCAAAAGGAGUUUGGACUUUGUCAAAGUGCGUUUAUUUUUUUUUAUUUUUUUGCGGGGUAAAGGGAUUGUAUUGUUUGAAUAAUAGUCACAUUACAAUCUCGUAGGAUGAGGUCUAAUAUUUUAUCAGGCACUGAUCCUAACCAAACUACCGUUCGUUCCUCUAGACGACCAAAACGAGCAAGUAGAUCGCUCGCUUGGUUCAUUUCCUGGGAGAUUUUGUUGACAACGAAACGCCUCACUUGCUUCAUGAGAUGCUUCACGUGCUCAACUAGAUGACCCAGCUGUGAGCUAUCUCGAGAUGGAUUAUUAAUCAUCUUAACGACCUUCAUGGAAUUUGUUUCAACAAGGGCAUCCUGCCGACUCCACUCCAGUGCAAGGGACAUGCCUUCCAUACAGGCACUUAGUUCCGCCUCAAGUACGUUUAUUUAGAGCAACCACGUAAUUCAUUUCACUGAUAGAAAAUAAAGCUACAUAGCCAAACACACGAUGGAAGCUAAAAGAUUGACCAGAAAAAGCACGAAUAUCCUGAAAACUUUGCAGAUAGACCCCUAAAAUAAAAAAUAUAGAACUAUCCCUAGGUUCAAGUCUGUCCUUUUAUAUUUUGUGAUAAAAUUGAGGGGAGAAAUCUGUUUGGCUAUAAUUGUAUAGAAAAAAUUUCUACUACCUCUGCCCCACAUUAAUUGUCCUAUACAAAGGUACCUCUGCAGCUUGUAUCAAUGGUUCACUGUUUAAGUUGAGUACCCUCAAUUGCACACCUACGAUAUAAUUUAUUUUAUUGCGAAAAAGAUUUAGAUAUAUUAUAAAAUUCAUCAGAAGUAAAAAAGGCACCUUAAACAUAAUAAAAAAUUGCAUCCAGAUCUCUAGACCAACGGACAACCACCACUGCUAGUAGAACGAGCAGUCGACGCGUCAAUGUCGUCGUUGCCUCGUCGGAGCCGGCUUGACCAUAUUGAUGAAAGAUGGGAAGUCUUCGUGCAUAUGCCCCUAAGGACCAGUGCUCGCGGGCCAUAUUCAUCGGCGUUGGACCCUUUGAUAGAUCUGAAGCAACUGACAUUGUACCUUUAGAUUUUAAAAAUGUUUCAACUAUACAAGUUUUAACACUAAAACUAGCAUAAUAUCCAUGUGCUGCUACGGGCAAUUAACAAUGUUUAACAAAAUGAACAAUGUACGGACUCUUCAAAUAAUAAUUCAUUUUCUCUUUAUUGUACUCCCUUUGUAAAGAAAUAUAAGAGUGUUUAGAUAACUAAAGUAGUGAUCUAAACACUCUUAUAUUAGUUUACGGAGGGAGUACUAUGUAUGUAGAAUAUGGCAACCUAGAAUCAAACAUAGUUACCAAUCGCAUGUUAGUUUCAUAGAGAUCUUAAAAAGUAUCAAGUGAAGAAUGAAAUCAUUAGACAAAAGGAGAAUCUGAAGAGUACAUUCAUGCUGAUGGCAGCAAGGAAUGAGCUCGCCUUGGAGGCACAUGGGCGAAGCAGGACAUCGAGAGGACUGCAGAGCCUAAUACGACUUCUCGCUGCACACGGGCAAAGAAUUUGCAUGCGGCUGCCCGGGAGCUCGGCAGAGUUAUACCUCACGGGCUUUUAGACAGGAAGUGGUGGGAAAUCCGCAUGCAUGCGCUAAAAUCCAAGAGUAAUAUCGCAACUUCCAGUAAUCUGGGUAGUACGGCUUCCCGACGUACUAAUAAGUCCAAGUCCCAUCACCAUGAUAGUUGAUAGGCAUCGACCUCCAGCCGAUGAGGACGCUGAAAGGCCAUUUUGCGCCUUAAGUGUUUUGGUAUUGAUGGCAACGUAAUUUAUGGACUAACUGUGUGCUUGAGCUAUACAAGCAUAUUUAUAUGACACAAGAUGGGAAGAAAAGAUCGAAGACAACAUUGCUGACGCUUUUUAUUUCUUUGACUGUAAGAAAUCUGUACUAUUAAAAGAGGUUCUGCAUCAAAAAUAAUAUAGGUGAAACCAAAUCACGUACACAAAAUACAUAUUGCACCCACAUAUACCUUCCUAGCCGUUUUGAGAAGAAUCUUCAAAUUUCACCUGUGCUAAAACCACCCCUCGGCAUGAUCACCGUGGACAUGCCCUCUUACAUCCAACGGUGGGUGCGAAGUGGGUAGCUAGCCUCAUGUCGUCGGUCCAUGACCCGAGCUUCAGGGGUGAUGAACGGUCGGUUGAAUCCAGGAAAGGACCCACUAUCAAACGGCGCGGUGGCUAGAUGGUCCAUCAACUCCUUCUCCUAGUUGCACAACAUACGACAUGGUGGGUGAAGGAGACAGCACUUGGCAAGCAUCUGUUGUCCAUCAUUUGUACUCCACGCGAGAAGCCCAACGCCUUCUUUGGUUUAGGAGAAUCUUGUAGGAAUUUCAUAGGAUAUGAUUUCUAUAGAAAAAAUUCCUUUAUAGCCCUUUAGUUUGUAGAAUGGAAUCUUAUUUCUAUGGAGAAAUUCUUCCUAUCCUUCAUAAUAGAAAAAUAAACAUUAGCCUUUAACAUGGCACCCGCCGAGUUCGGGUGCGGGUAAUGGUUGCCCAAACCCGUACCCGUCUCAUUAUUUUUCGCCCAUACCCGCACCUCAGGUUUCAAACUGUUCCCAUACCCGUACCCGGUCGAGUGCGGGUAAUACCCACGGGUAAAAAAUACCCAUCUCGAUGACCUUACCCAAUUCACACUUCAUCAUGUAUUUUUUCAACAUUUACACAUAUAUACGCAACAUUUUCAGCAUGUAGUCUUCAACAUUUCAGUACAUAUAUACCACAUUUUAGCAUUUGAGCACAUAUAGAUGAUGAUUUGUUGCGCGAUGAAAUAAAAAGAAUGAUAUUAAUUUUCAGAAAUGGAUAGCAAUAAUCAUGAAAUAUAUCACACUAAACAAUGUCCAAUUAUAUACAUGGACUAGAUCACUGAUGGCGCCUAUCUAUUUGUACAACUAAAUGAUAGGAAUUUUCGUAAAUAUAUUAUCACAUGAAACAUAUUAAAUUUGCAUAAACAUAACCAUAAAUUAGUCUGUAGUAUGAGGAAAUCUCAUAUACACGCGGUAAAAUCAUGCUUCACACCUAAUCGGAGCAGCGGCCCAGUACGGUGUGGGAUCGAUAUUAGCGAACGAAAUGAGAUUAGGCACGAUUCACACCUAAUCCGAUGACCGAAAAUGCUUAAUUGGACGAUCGGACAACAAGGGACGUUGAUGGCCUGAGAGGGCUGGAAAAAUGUGCAGUUUUAAUGUCUCUAAAUGAGUAGCCUGUACGUGAACUUUUAGAGAAACAUUCUCACCUAUUCUUUUUUUUCAAUUACAAGACAAAUAAGACGGACACAAUUUUCUUUUAUUGAAGGUACUUCUGCAUCCCCUAUUUCAAACUAAUCAACCGAAGGAGACUAUAUAAUAAGAUUAACAAAACUGGCAGUUCAGAAAACAAGAUCAAUGCAUUUAAACAAGAUCAUGCACAUGCGUCAGGGAGAGGAUUUUGGGUCGAGGUUAGUGGUUGUGUUAGUCUAGGAUACAAUUACUAAGUUCUUUAGUGAAUGACACAUGGAGCCUACUGUUAGAAGAAACUAAUAUAUGGGUAUGCGGGUACGCGGGUGCGCGGGUAUGGGUAUUGCAUUUCCAUACCCAUACCCGGUUUACCUGAUGGAUACAAUUUUUUUCCAUUAUAAACCCAUGGGUAUUUAUUUGUCCCAAACCGUUACCUUAAUAGGGUUUUUACCCGCCGGGUUCGCGGGUUUUGGGUACACAUUGUCAUGUUGAAUUCGCCUGGACUCAAUGAAAAAAAUCAUAUGAUGUGAAUCAAAGGGCAUCUCCUUUUCUAUUCUUACUCAUAGGAUUUGAGAUACAUGUCAUCUCAUUUCCUAUGACUUUCCUAUUCCUAUGAUUUUCCUACCCUAUGAACCAAAGGAGGCCUUAUAGUAUAACCGAAAGAGUACUUGCUCUUUGAGCAAAGGGCCUCCCUAAGCACGCAUUAAUUUCCUGGGCAUGCUUCUUUCUACUCAACGUUGCAAGCACUUUGAGCAUGUUGGCAACUCCACUGCUAGCUUGGUCCUCUCCAACUCUCUGAUGAAGUGCCACCUCCAAGUUAAGAAGCCCAGUGAUGAUGAUGAUGCAUAGAUUUAGUUUUUUUAUUAUGUUAAGCUAUAGUAUGAACUCUGUCUUUCAUAUGAACUCCGGUGAUGUAAUGUGGCGUGAACUGCUAGUUUAAUUAUCUCGUAUGUGUUUACCGGAUCUUCUUUCCCACCGUCUGCGGUAUGACAACCGGAAACGAAACUUACGAUACCACGGUUUGCAGGAAAAGUUUUAACUGUUGAUUGGAAAAGCUUCAACCCACAUGAGAGAAAAGUUUCAACUUGUGGAAGAAAGCUUCAACCAUGGAAAAAGCCUCAACCGGCGGUGGAAAAGCUUCAAGCAACGGUGGAAAAAGCUUCAACCGGCAUCGGCAAAAAGCUUCAACAUGUGGAAAAAGCUUCAAUCGGCGUGUAAAAAAAACUUCAACCGGUGUGAAAAAAAGCUUCAACCGGCCGAUGAUGCAAGUGGCGACGCUGAGUGCUGCGGCCGACGACACAUUGGUGUUGCGGCGGACGUGCUACGACAGCGACGACUAGAUGCUGCCAUGACAGAGACAUCGGGCGUGCUGCAAGGCCGCGGUGUUUUUACUAUGACGGCGACAGUCCCCUGCUGGAAUCGGCAAGGGCAAGUGCUGCAAGGGUGACCACCGGCGAUGAGGGCAGCGACCAGCAGUGAGCGUAGGCGACGAGGCAAUCGGCGCGAGGAUGGCCGACGAGCUUCACUCCGUGGAUGGGUGGAUUACGGGCUGCAGACAUGCGCCAUGGCUUUCCUUGUUUUCUAAUGAAGCGGCUGAGGAAAGAAAAGUCAUCGUGCGGGUGCGGCUAUCACGACGCUAAUUCUACAUGUGCUACCUCUUGAGCACUGCGUUGGAUUUCCUUGAAGAGGAAAGGAUGAUGCAGCAAAGUAGCGUAAGUAUUUCCCUCAGUUUUUGAGAACCAAGGUAUCAAUCCAGUAGGAGGCUACGCGCGAGUCCCUUGUACCUCAACAAAACACAACCAACGCGAUAAGGGGUUGCCAAUCCCUUCACAGUCACGUACGAGAGUGAGAUCUGAUAGAUAUGAUAAGAUAAUAUUUUGUUGGUAUUUUUGUGAUAAAGAUGCAAAGUAAAAUAAAAGCAAAGUAAAAAAGCAAAUUAAGUAACUAAGUAUUGGAAGAUUAAUAUGAUGAAGAUAGACCCGGGGGCCAUAGGUUUCACUAGUGGCUUCUCUCAAGAGCAUAAGUAUUUUACGGUGGGUGAACGAAUUACUAUUGAGUAAUUGACAGAAUUGAGCAUAGUUAUGAGAAUAUCUAGGUAUGAUCAUGUAUAUAGGCAUCACAUCCGAGACAAGUAGACCGACUCCUGCCUGCAUCUACUACUAUUACUCCACUCAUCGACCGCUAUCCAGCAUGCAUCUAGAGUAUUAAGUUCAUGAAAACAGAGUAACGCCUUAAGCAAGAUGACACGAUGUAGAGGGAUAAAUUCAUGCAAUAUGAUAAAAACCCCAUCUUGUUAUCCUCGAUGGCAACAAUAUAAUACGUGCAUUGUUGCCCCUACUGUCGCUGGGAAAGGACACCGCAAGAUUGAACCCAAAGCUAAGCACUUCUCCCAUUGCAAGAAAGAUCAAUCUAGUAGGCCAAACCAAACUGAUAAUUCGAAGAGACUUGCAAAGAUAACCAAUCAUACAUAAAAGAAUUCAGAGAAGAUUCAAAUAUUGUUCAUAGAUAAUCUUGAUCAUAAACCCACAAUUCAUCGGUCUCAACAAACACACCGCAAAAAGAAGAUUACAUCGAAUAGAUCUCCACAAGAGAGGGGGAGAUCAUUGUAUUGAGAUCCAAAAAGAGAGAAGAAGCCAUCUAGCUAAUAACUAUGGACCCGAAGGUCUGAGGUAAACUACUCACACUUCAUCGAAGAGGCUAUGGUGUUGAUGUAGAAGCCCUCCGUGAUGGAUGCCCCCUCCGGUGGAGCUCCGGAACAGGCCCCAAGAUGGGAUCUCGUGGAUACUGAAGGUUGCGGUGGUGGAAUUAGGUUUUUGGCUCCAUAUCUGAUCGGUUGGGGGUACGUAGGUAUAUAUAGGAGGAAGGAGUACGUCGGUGGAGCAACAGGGGGCCCACGUGGUUGGAGGGCGCGCCUGGGGGGUGUAGGCGCGCCCCCCUACCUCGUGGCUUCCUCCUUUAUUUCUUGACAUAGGGUCCAAGUCUCCCGGAUCAUGUUCGGUCCGAAAAUCACGUUCCCGAAGGUUUCAUUCCAUUUGGACUCCGUUUGAUAUUCCUUUUCUACGAAACUUUGAAAUGGGCAAAAAACAACAAUUCUGGGCUGGGCCUCCGGCUAAUAGGUUAGUUCCAAAAAUAAUAUAGAAGUGGAUAAUAAAGCCUAAUAAUGUCCGAAACAAUAGAUAAUAUAGCAUGGAGCAAUCAAAAAUUAUAGAUACAUUGGAGACGUGUCAAGCAUCCCCAAGCUUAAUUCCUGCUCGUCCUCAAGUAGGUAAAUGAUAAAAAAGAUAAUUUUGAUGCGGAGUGCUACUUGGCAUAAUUUUAAUGUAAUUCUUCUUAAUUGUGGUAUGAAUAUUCAGAUCCGAAAGAUUCGAGAUAAAAGUUCAUAUUGACAUAAAAAUAAUAAUACUUCAAGCAUACUAACUAAGCAAUUAUGUCUUCUCAAAAUAACAUGGCCAAAGAAAGUUCAUCCCUACAAAAUCAUAUAGUUUAGUCAUGCUCCAUUUUCGUCACACAAGAAUGCUCUCAUCAUGCACAACCCAGAUGACAAGCCAAGCAAUUGUUUCAUACUUACGUAAUCUCAAACCUAUAAACUUUCACGCAAUAUAUGAGCGCGAGCCAUGGACAUAGCACUAUGGGUGAAAUAGAAUAUGAUGAUGGGGGUUAUGUGGAGAAGACAAAAAAGGAGAAAGUCUCACAUCAAUGAGGCUAAUCAAUGGGCUAUGGAGAUGCCCAUCGAUUGAUGUUAAUGCAAGGAGUAGGGAUUGCCAUGCAAUGGAUGCACUAGAGCUAUAAAUGUAUGAAAGCUCAACAAAAGAAACUAAGUGGGUGUGCAUCAAACUUGCUUGCUCACGAAGACCUAGGGCACUUGAGGAGGCCCAUUGUUGGAAUAUACAAGCCAAGUUCUAUAAUGAAAAAUUCCCACUAGUAUGUGAAAGUGACAAAACAAAAGACUCUCUAUCAUGAAGAUUAUGGUGCUACUUUGAAGCACAAGUGUGGCAAAGGAUAGUAGCAUUAUCCCUUCUCUCUUUUUCUCUCUUUUUUGGGCCUUCACUUCUUUUUUUAUGGCCUUUCUCUCCCCUCUUUUUUUAAUUCCUCACUUAGGACAAUGCUAUAGAAAAUGAUGAUCAUCACACUUCUAUUUAUUUACAACUCAAUGAUUACAACUCGAUGCUAGAACAAAAGAUGACUCUAUAUGAAUGCCUCCGGCGGUGUACCGGGAUAUGCAAUGAACCAAGAGUGACAUGUAUGAAAGAAUUAUGAACGGUGGCUUUACCACAAAUACUAUGUCAACUACAUGAUCAUGCUAAGCAAUAUGACAAUGAUGAAUGUGUCAUGAUAAACGGAAUGGUGGAGAGUUGCAUGGAAAUAUAUCUCGGAAUGGCUAUGGAAAUGCCAUAAUAGGUAGGUAUGGUGGCUGUUUUGAGGAAGAUAUAAGGAGGUUUAUGUGUGAAAGAGCGUAUCAUAUCACGGGGUUUGGAUGCACCGGCGAAGUUUGCACCAACUCUCAAUGUGAGAAAGGGCAAUGCACAGUAUCAAAGAGGCUAGCAAUGAUGGAAGGGUGAGAGUGUGUAUAAUCCAUGGACUCAACAUUAGUCAUAAAGAACUCACAUACUUAUUGCAAAAAUCUACAAGUCAUCAAAAACCAAGCACUACGCGCAUGCUCCUAGGGGGAUAGAUUGGUAUGAAAAGACCAUCGCUCGUCCCCGACCGCCACUCAUACGGAGGACAAUCAAAGAACACCACAUGUUUCAAAUUUGUUACAUAACGUUUACCAUACGUGCAUGCUACGGGACUUGCAAACUUCAACACAAGCAUUUCUCAAAUUUACAACUACUCAACUAGCAUGACUUUGAUAUUAUUACCUCCAUAUCUCAAAACAAUCAUCAAGCAUCAAACUUCUCUUAGUAUUCAAAACACUCAUAAGAAUUUUUUUACUAAUCUAGAAUACCUAGCAUAUUAGGAUUAUUUAAGCAAAUUACCAUGCUAUUUAAGACUCUCAAAAUAAUCUAAGUGAAGCAUGAGAGAUCAAUAGUUUCUAUAAAACAAAUCCACCACCGUGCUCUAAAAGAUAUAAGUGAAGUACUAGAGCAAAACUAUAUAACUCAAAAGAUAUAAGUGAAGCACAUAGAGUAUUCUAACAAAUUCCAAAUCAUGUAUGGCUCUCUCAAAAGGUGUGUACAGCAAGGAUGAUUGUGGUAAACUAAAAAGCAAAGACUCAAAUCAUACAAGACGCUCCAAGCAAAACACAUAUCAUGUGGUGAAUAAAAAUAUAGCUCCAAGUAAAGUUACCGAUGGAAGUAGACGAAAGAGGCGAUGCCUUCCGGGGCAUCCCCAAGCUUUGGAUUUUAGGUGUCCUUAGAUUAUCUUGGGGGUGCCAUGGGCAUCCCCAAGCUUAGUCUCUUGCCACUCCUUGUUCCAUAAUCCAUCAAAUCUUUACCCAAAAUCUUGAAAACUUCACAACACAAAACUUAAAGUAGAAAAUCUCGUGAGCUCCGUUAGCGAAAGAAAACAAAAGACCACUUCAAGGUACUGUAAUGAACUCAUUAUUUAUUUAAAUUGGUGUUAAACCUACUGUAUUCCAACUUCUAUAUGGUUUAUAAACUAUUUUACUAGCGAUAGAUUCAUCAAAAUAAGCAAACAACACACGAAAAACAGAAUCUGUCAAAAACAGAACAGUCUGUAGUAACCUGUAACUAGCACAAGAUCUGGAACCCCAAAAAUUAUAAAAUAAAUUUCUGGACGUGAGUAAUUUAUCUAUUAAUCAUUUACAAAAAUAAUUAAAUAAAUAGCACUUUCCACAUAAAAAUGGCAGCAGUUCUCGUGAGCGCUAAAGUUUCUGUUUUUUUACAGCAAGAUAUCAAGACUUUUCCCAAGUCUUCCCAACGGUUCUACUUGGCACAAACACUAAUUAAACACAAAAACACAACCAAAACAGAGGCUAGGUAAAUUAUUUAUUACUGGAAUAAAAAUAAAAUUGGGUUGCCUCCCAACAAGCGCUAUCGUUUAACGCCCCUAGCUAGGCAUAAAAAGCAAGGAUAGAUCUAGGUAUUGCCAUCUUUGGUAGGCAAUCCAUAAGUGGAUCUCAUAAUAGAUUCAUAAGGUAAUUUGAUUUUCUUUCUAGGAAAAUGUUACAUGCCUUUCCUUAACAAAAAUUGGAAUCUAAUAUUUCCUUCCUUCAUAUCAAUAAUUGCACCAAUCGUUCUAAGGAAAGGUCUACCAAGGAUAAUAGGACAUGAAGGAUUGCAAUCUAUGUCAAGAACAAUAAAAUCUACGGGCACAUAAUUCCUAUUUGCGACAAUAAGAACAUCAUUGAUUCUUCCCAUUGGUUUCUUAAUAGUGGAAUCCGCAAGGUGCAAGUUUAAAGAGAAAUCAUCAAAAUCACGGAAACCUAACAAAUCACACAAAGUCUUUGGAAUCGUGGAAACACUAGCACCCAAAUCACAUAAAGCAUAGAACUCAUGAUCUUUAAUCUUAAUUUUAAUAGUUGGUUCCCACUCAUCAUAAAGUUUUCUAGGGAUAGAAACUUCCAACUCAAGUUUUUCUUCAUAAGAUUGCAUCAAGGCAUCAACGAUAUGUUUAGUAAACGCUUUAUUUUGACUAUAAACAUGAGGAGAAUUUAGCACGGAUUGUAACAAGGAAAUACAAUCAAUAAAAGAGCAAUUUUCAUAAUUAAAUUCUUUGAAAUCCAUAAUAGUGGGUUUAGUAACAUCUAGGGUUUUAAUUUCUUUAAUCCCACUUUCAUCAAAUUUAGCAUCAAGAUCUAAAAACUCUGAAUUUUUGGAACGCUUUCUAGGUAAAGGUGUUGGAAAUAUGCCCUAGAGGCAAUAAUAAAUUAGUUAUUAUUAUAUUUCCUUGUUCCUGAUAAUCGUUUAUUAUCCAUGCUAGAAUUGUAUUGAUAGGACACUCAAAUACAUGUGUGGAUACAUAGACAACGCCAUGUCCCUACUAAGCCUCUAGUUGACUAGCUCGUUGAUCAAUAGAUGGUUACGGUUUCCUGACGAUGGACAUUGGAUGUCAUUGAUAAUGGGAUCACAUCAUUAGGAGAAUGAUGUGAUGGACAAGACCCAAUCCUAAGCCUAGCACAAGAUUGUGUAGUUCGUAUGCUAAAGCUUUUCUAAUGUCAAGUAUCAUUUCCUUAGACCAUGAGAUUGUGCAACUCCCGGAUACCGUAGGAAUGCUUUGGGUGUACCAAAUGUCACAACGUAACUGGGUGGCUAUAAAGGUGCACUACGGGUAUCUCCGAAAGUGUCUGUUGGGUUGUCACGAAUCAAGACUGGGAUUUGUCACUCUGUGUAACGGAGAGGUAUCUCUGGGCCCACUCAGUAGGACAUCAUCAUAAUGUGCACAAUGUGACCAAGGAGUUGAUCACAGGAUGAUGUGUUACGGGACGAGUAAAGAGACUUGCCAGUAACGAGAUUGAACGAGGUAUCGGGAUAUCGAUGAUCGAAUCUCGGGCAAGUACCGUACCGAUAGACAAAGGGAAUUGUAUACGGGAUUGAUUGAAUCCUUGACAUCGUGGUUCAUCCGAUGAGAUCAUCGUGGAGCAUGUGGGAGCUAACAUGGGUAUCCAGAUCCCUCUGUUGGUUAUUGACCGGAGAGUUGUCUCGGCCAUGUCUGCAUGACUCCCAAGCCCGUAGGGUCUACACACUUAAGGUUCGAUGAUGCUAGGGUUAUAGGUAAAGUAUGUACGCGGUUACCGAAUGUUGUUCGGGGUCCCGGAUGAGAUCCCGGACGUCACGAGGAGUUCCGGAAUGGUCCGGAGGUAAAGAUUUAUAUAUGGGAAGUCCCGUUUUGGUCACCGGAAAAGUUUCGGGUGCUAUCGGUAACGUACCGGAUGUUGGAAAUAUGCCCUAGAGGCAAUAAUAAAAUGGUUAUUAUUAUAUUUCUUUGUUCAUGAUAAUUGUCUAUUGUUCAUGCUAUAAUUGUGUUAUCCAGAAAUCGUAAUACAUGUGUGAAUAUAUAGACCACAACACGUCCCUAGUGAGCCUCUAGUUGACUAGCUCGUUGAUCAAAGGAUAGUCAUGGUUUCCUGACUAUGGACAUUAGAUGUCAUUGAUAACGGGAUCACAUCAUUAGGAGAAUGAUGUGAUGGACAAGACCCAAUCCUAAGCUUAGCUCAAAGAUCGUGUAGUUUGUUUGUUGUAGCUUUUUUGAAUGUCAAGUAUCAUUUCCUUAGACCAUGAGAUUGUGCAGCUCCCGGAUACCGUAGGAGUGCCUUGGGUGUGCCAAACGUCACAACGUAACUGGGUGACUAUAAAGGUACAUUACAUGUAUCUCCAAAAGUGUAUGUUGGGUUGGCACGAAUCGAGACUGGGAUUUGUCACUCCGUAUGACGGAGAGGUAUCUCUGGGCCCACUCGGUAAUGCAUCAUCAUAAUGAGCUCAAAGUGAUCAAGUGAUUGAUCACGGGAUCAUGCAUUAUGGUACGAGUAAAGUGACUUGCCGGCAACGUGACUGAACAAGGUAUUGGGAUACCGACGAUCGAGUCUCGGGCAAGUAACGUACCGAUUGACAAAGGGAAUUGUAUACGGAUUGAUUGAAUCCUCGACAUCGUGGUUCAUCUGAUGAGAUCAUCAUGGAGCAUGUGGGAGCCAACAUGGGUAUCCAGAUCCCGCUGUUGGUUAUUGACCGGAGAGGCUUCUCGGUCAUGUCUGCAUGUCUCCCGAACCCGUAGGGUCUACACACUUAAGGUUCGAUGACGCUAGGGUUGUAGAGAUAUUAGCACAUGGUAACCCGAAAGUUGUUUGGAGUCCCGGAUGAGAUCCCGGACGUCACGAGGAGUUCCGGAAUGGUCCGGAGGUAAAGAUUUAUAUAUAGGAAGUCCAGUUUCGGCCUUCGGGAAGGUUUCGGGGUCACCGUUAUUGUACCGGGACCACCAGAAGGGUCCCGGGGGUCCACCGGGUGGGGCCACCUAUCCUAGAGGGCCCCAUGGGCUGAAGUGGGAGGGGAACCAGCCCCUAGUGGGCUGGUGCGCCCCCCUGGGCCUCCCCCUGCGCCUAGGGUUAGAAACCCUAGUGGUGGGGGCGCCACCCUUGCCUUGGGGGGCAAGGCACCCCCUUGGCCGCCGCCCCCCUAGGAUAUUGGAUCUCCUAGGGCCGGCGCCCCCCCUUAGGCACCCUAUAUAUAGUGGGGGGGAGGGCUGCGCACCCAAGCCCCUGGCCUCUCCCUCUCCCUCCCGUGACACUCCUCCAUCUCCCAGCGCUUGGCGAAGCCCUGCCGAGAUCACCGUUGCUUCCACCACCACGCCGUCGUGCUGCUGGAUCUUCAUCAACCUCUCCUUCCCCCUUGCUGGAUCAAUAAGGAGGAGACGUCUCCCAACCGUACUUGUGUUGAACGCAGAGGUGCCGUCCGUUCGGCACUAGGUCAUCGGUGAUUUGAAUCACGUCGAGUACGACUCCAUCAACCCCGUUCUCUUGAACGCUUCCACUCGUGAUCUACAAGGGUAUGUAGAUGCACUCCUCUCUCCCUCGUUGCUAGAUGACUCCAUAGAUUGAUCUUGGUGAUGCGUAGAAAAUUUUAAAAUUCUGCUACGUUCCCCAACAGUGGCAUCAUGAGCUAGGUCUAUGCGUAGUUACUAUGCACGAGUAGAACACAAAGUAGUUGUGGGCGUCGAUAUUGUCAAUUUGCUUGCCGUUACUAGUCUUAUCUUGAUUCGGUGGCAUCGUGAGAUGAAGCGGCCCGGACCAACCUUACACAUACGCUUACGUGAGACCGGUUCCACCUACUGACAUGCACUAGUUGCAUAAGGUGGCUGGCGGGUGUCUGUCUCUCCCACUUUAGUCGGAUCGGAUUCGAUGAAUAGGGUCCUUAUGAAGGGUAAAUAGAAAUUGGCAAUUCACGUUGUGGUUUUGGCGUAGGUAAGAAACGUUCUUGCUAGAAACCUAUAGCAUCCACGUAAAAACUUGCAACAACAAUUAGAGGACGUCUAACUUGUUUUUGUAGCAAGUGUUUUGUGAUGUGAUAUGGCCAAAUGUUGUGAUGAAUGAUGAAUGAUAUAUGUGAUGUAUGAGAUUGAUCAUGUUCUUGUAAUAGGAAUCACGACUUGCAUGUCGAUGAGUAUGACAACCGGCAGGAGCCAUAGGAGUUGUCUUUAUUUAUUUAUGACCUGCGUGUCAACAUAAACAUCAUGUAAUUACUUUACUUUAUUGCUAAAGCGUUAGCCAUAGUAGUAGAAGUAAUAGAUGACAAGACAACUUCAAGAAGACACGAUGGUGGAGAUCAUGAUGAUGGAGAUCAUGGUGUCAUGCCGGUGACAACGAUGAUCAUGGAGCCCCGAAGAUGGAGAUCAAAGGAGCAAAUGAUAUUGGCCAUAUCAUGUCACUAUUUGAUUGCAUGUCAUGUUUAUCAUGUUUUACAUCUUAUUUGCUUAGAACGAAGGUAGCUUAAAUAAGAUGAUCCCUCGUAAGAAAGUGUUCCCCCUAACUGUGCACCGAUGCGAAGGAUCAUUGUUUUGAAGCACCACGUGAUGAUCGGGUGUGAUAGAUUCUAACAUUCGAAUACAAUGGGUGUAAGACAAAUUUACACACGCAAUACACUUAGGUUGACUUGACGAGCCUAGCACAAUGGCCUCGGAACACAGAAGACUGAAAGGUCGAGCAUGAGUCGUAUAGAAGAUACGAUCAACAUGAAGAUGUUCAUCGAUGUUGACUAGUCCGUCUCACGUGAUGAUCGGACACGGCCUAGUUAACUCGGAUCAUGUUAUACUUAGAUGACUGGAGGGAUGUCUAUCUGAGUGGGAGUUCAUUUAAUAAUUUCAUUAGAUGAACUUAAUUAUCAUGAACUUAGUCUAAAAUCUUUACAAUAUGUCUUGUAGAUCAAAUGGCCCACGUUGUCCUCAACUUCAAUGCGUUCCUAGAGAAAACCAAGCUGAAAGACGAUGGCAGCAACUAUACGGACUGGGUCCGAAACCUGAGGAUCAUCCUCAUAGCUGCCAAGAAAGAUUAUGUCCUAGAAGCACCGCUAGGUGACGCACCCAUCCCACAGAACCAAGACGUUAUGAACGCUUGGCAGACACGUGCUGAUGAUUACUCCCUCGUUCAGUGCGGCAUGCUUUACAGCUUAGAACCGGGGCUCCAAAAGCAUUUUGAGAGACACGGAGCAUAUGAGAUGUUCGAAGAGCUGAAAAUGGUUUUUCAAGCUCAUGCCCGGGUCGAGAGAUAUGAAGUCUCCGGCAAGUUCUUCAGCUGUACCCGGUAAGCAAGCUGCCAGGAAGAAGCCAAAGAAUGGACCCAAGCCCGAGACUGAGUGUUUUUAUUGCAAGGGAAGUGGUCACUGGAAGCGGAACUGCCCCAAAUACUUAGCGGACAAGAAGGCCGGCAUCACGAAAGGUAUAUGUGAUAUACAUGUAAUUGAUGUGUACCUUACCAGUACUCGUAGUAGCUCCUGGGUAUUUGAUACCAGUGCGGUUGCUCACAUUUGUAACUCAAAGCAGGAGCUGCGGAAUAAGCGGAGACUGGCGAAGGACGAGGUGACGAUGCACGUCGGGAAUGGUUCCAAGGUCGAUGUGAUCGCCGUCGGCACGCUACCUCUACAUUUACCUAUGGGAUUAGUUUUAAACCUCAAUAAUUGUUAUUUAGUGCCAGCUUUGUGCAUGAACAUUGUAUCAGGAUCUCGUUUAAUUCGAGAUGGCUACUCAUUUAAAUCCGAGAAUAAUGGUUGUUCUAUUUAUAUGAGAGAUAUGUUUUAUGGUCAUGCUCCGAUGGUGAAUGGUUUAUUCUUAAUGAAUCUCGAGCGUAAUGCUACACAUAUUCAUAUAGUGAAUACCAAAAGAUGUAAGGUUGAUAAUGAUAGUCCCACAUACUUGUGGCACUACCGCCUUGGUCACAUAGGUGUCAAACGCAUGAAGAAGCUCCAUGCAGAUGGACUUUUAGAGUCUCUUGAUUACGAAUCAUUUGACACGUGCGAACCAUGCCUCAUGGGUAAAAUGACCAAGACUCCGUUCUCAGGAACAAUGGAGUGAGCAACCAACUUAUUAGAAAUCAUACAUACUGAUGUGUGCGGUCCAAUGAGUGUUGAGGCUCGCGGUGGCUAUCGUUAUGUUCUCACCCUCACUGAUGACUUGAGUAGAUAUGGGUAUGUCUACUUAAUGAAACACAAGUCUGAGACCUUUGAAAAGUUCAAGGAAUUUCAGAGUGAGGUUGAGAAUCAACGUGACAGGAAAAUCAAGUUAUUGCGAUCAGAUCGUGGGGGAGAAUACUUGAGUCACAAAUUUGGCACACACUUAAGAAAAUGUGGAAUAGUUUCACAACUAACGCCGCCUGGAACACCUCAGCGUAAUGGUGUGUCCGAACGUCGUAAUCGCACUCUAUUAGAUAUGGUGCGAUCUAUGAUGUCUCUUACCGAUUUACCGCUAUCAUUUUGGGGCUACGCUUUAGAGACUGCCGCAUUCACUUUAAAUAGGGCUCCGUCGAUAUCCGUUGAGACGACACCGUAUGAAUUAUGGCCUGGGAAGAAACCUAAGCUGUCGUUUCUAAAAGUUUGGGGAUGCGAUGCUUAUGUGAAGAAACUUCAACCUGAAAAGCUCGAACCCAAGUCAGAAAAAUGCGUCUUCAUAGGAUACCCUAAAGAAACUGUUGGGUAUACCUUCUACCUCAGAUCCGAAGACAAGAUCUUUGUUGCCAAGAAUGGGUCCUUUCUAGAGAAAGAGUUUCUCUCGAAAGAAAUAAGUGGGAGGAAGGUAGACCUUGAUGAAGUAUUACCUCUUGAACCGGUAAGUGGCGCAACUCUAGAAAAUGUUCCUGAGGUGCCUGCACCGACUAGAGAGGAAGUUGAUGAUGAUGAUCAUGAAACUUCCAAUCAAGUUGCUACUGAACUUCGUAGGUCCAUAAGGACACAUUCCGCACCAGAGUGGUACGGCAACCCUGUCUUGGAAAUCAUGUUGUUAGACAACGGUGAACCUUCGAACUAUGAAGAAGCGAUGGCGGGCCGGAUUCUGACAAAUGGCUGGAAAUCAUGAAAUCCGAGAUAGGAUCCAUGUAUGAAAACGAAGUAUGGACUUUGACUGACUUGCCUGUUGAUCGGCGAGCCAUAGAAAAUAAAUGGAUCUUUAAGAAGAAGACACACGCGGAUGGUAAUGUGACCAUCUAUAAAGCUCGGCUUGUCGCUAAGGGUUAUAGACAAGUUCAUGAAGGAAAUAUGCCCUAGAGGCAAUAAUAAAGUUAUUAUUUAUUUCCUUAUAAUCAUGAUAAAUGUUUAUUAUUCAUGCUAGAAUUGUAUUUACCGGAAACAUAAUACAUGUGUGAAUACAUAGACAAACAAAGUCACUAGUAUGCCUCUACUUGACUAGCUCGUUAAUCAAAGAUGGUUAUGUUUCCUAACCAUAAACAAUGAGUUGUUAUUUGAUUAACGAGGUCACAUCAUUAGUAGAAUGAUCUGAUUGACAUGACCCAUUCCAUUAGCUUAGCACCCGAUCGUUUAGUAUGUUGCUAUUGCUUUCUUCAUGACUUAUACAUGUUCCUAUGACUAUGAGAUUAUGCAACUCCCGUUUACCGGAGGAACACUUUGGGUACUACCAAACGUCACAACGUAACUGGGUGAUUAUAAAGGAGUACUACAGGUGUCUCCAAUGGUCGAUGUUGGGUUGGUGUAUUUCGAGAUUAGGAUUUGUCACUCCGAUUGUCGGAGAGGUAUCUCUGGGCCCUCUCGGUAAUACACAUCACAUAAGCCUUGCAAGCAUUACAACUAAAUAUGUUAGUUGUGAGAUGAUGUAUUACGGAACGAGUAAAGAGACUUGCCGGUAACGAGAUUGAACUAGGUAUUGGAUACCGACGAUCGAAUCUCGGGCAAGUAACAUACCGAUGACAAAGGGAACACCGUAUGUUGUUAUGCGGUCUGACCGAUAAAGAUCUUCGUAGAAUAUGUAGGAGCCAAUAUGGGCAUCCAGGUCCCGCUAUUGGUUAUUGACCAGAGACAUGUCUCGGUCAUGUCUACAUUGUUCUCGAACCCGUAGGGUCCGCACGCUUAAGGUUACGAUGACAGUUAUAUUAUGAGUUUAUGCAUUUUGAUGUACCGAAGGUUGUUCGGAGUCCCGGAUGUGAUCACGGACAUGACGAGGAGUCUCGAAAUGGUCGAGACAUAAAGAUUGAUAUAUUGGAAGUCUAUGUUUGGACAUCGGAAGUGUUCCGGGUGAAAUCGGGAUUUUACCGGGUUACCGGGAGGUUACCGGAACCCCCCGGGAGCCAUAUGGGCCAUCAUGGGCCUUAGUGGAAAGGAGAAAGGGGCAGCCCAAGGGGGCUGAGCGCCUCCCCCCUUCCCCUAGUCCUAUUAGGACUAGGAGAGGUGGCCGGCCACCCCUCUCCCUCUUUCCCCCUUGGGAAUCCUAGUUGGAAUAGGAUUGGAGGGGAGUCCUACUCCCGGUAGGAGUAGGACUCCUCCUGCGCCACCUCCUCCUGGCCGGCGCCUCCUCCCCCCCUUGGCUCCUUUAUAUACUGAGGCAGGGGCACCUCUAAACACACAAGUUGACACAAGUUGAUCCACGUGAUCGAUUCCUUAGCCGUGUGCGGUGCCCCCUGCCACCAUAUUCCUCGAUAAUACUGUAGCGGAGUUUAGGCGAAGCCCUGCUGCUGUAGUUCAUCAAGAUCGUCACCACGCCGUCGUGCUGACGGAACUCUUCCCCGACACUUUGCUGGAUCGGAGUCCGGGGAUCGUCAUCGAGCUGAACGUGUGCUCGAACUCGGAGGUGCCGUAGUUUCGGUGCUUGAUCGGUUGGAUCGUGAAGACGUACGACUACUUCCUCUACGUCGUGUCAUCGCUUCCGCAGUCGGUCUGCGUAGGGUACGUAGACAAUACUCUUCCCCUCGUUGCUAUGCAUCACAUGAUCUUGCGUGUGCGUAGGAAAUUUUUUGAAAUUACUACGAAACCCAACAGUGGCAUCCGAGCCUGGUUAUUGAUGUUGAUGUUAUAUGCACGAGUAGAACACAAGUGAGUUGUGGACGAUACAAGUCAUACUGCCUACCAGCAUGUCAUAUUUUGGUUCGGCGGUAUUGUUGGACGAGACGACCCAGACCAACCUUACGCGUACGCUUACGCGAGACCGGUUCCCUCGACGUGCUUUGCACAGAGAUGGCUUGCGGGCGACUGUCUCUCCAACUUUAGUUGAACCAAGUAUGGCUACGCCCGGUCCUUGCGAAGGUUAAAACGGAGUCUAUUUGACAAACUAUCGUUGUGGUUUUGAUGCGUAGGUGAGAUUGGUUCUUACUUAAGCCCGUAGCAGCCACGUAAAACAUGCAACAACAAAGUAGAGGACGUCUAACUUGUUUUUGCAGGGCAUGUUGUGAUGUGAUAUGGUCAAGGCAUGAUACUGAAUUUUAUUGUAUGAGAUGAUCAUGUUUUGUAACCAAGUUAUCGGCAACUGGCAGGAGCCAUAUGGUUGUCGCUUUAUUGUAUGCAAUGCAAUCGCGAUGUAAUGCUUAACUUUAUUACUAAACGGUAGUGAUAGUCGUGAAAGCAUAAGAUUGGCGAGACGACAACGAUGCUACGAUGGAGAUCAAGGUGUCGCGCCGGUGACGAUGGUGAUCAUGACGGUGCUUCAGAGAUGGAGAUCACAAGCACGAGAUGAUGAUGGCCAUAUCAUAUCACUUAUAUUGAUUGCAUGUGAUGUUUAUCUUUUUAUGCAUCUUAUCUUGCUUUGAUUGACGGUAGCAUUAUAAGAUGAUCUCUCAUUAAAUUAUCAAGAAGUGUUCUCCCUGAGUAUGCACCGUUGCCAAAGUUCGUCGUGCCCAGACACCACGUGAUGAUCGGGUGUGAUAAGCUCUACGUCCAUCUACAACGGGUGCAAGCCAGUUUUUGCACACGCAGAAUACUCAGGUUAAACUUGACGAGCCUAGCAUAUGCAGAUAUGGCCUCGGAACACGGAGACCGAAAGGUCGAGCGUGAAUCAUAUAGUAGAUAUGAUCAACAUAAACGAUGUUCACCAUUGAAAACUACUCCAUCUCACGUGAUGAUCGGACAUGGUUUAGUUGAUUUGGAUCACGUGAUCACUUAGAGGAUUAGAGGGAUGUCUGUCUAAGUGGGAGUUCUUAAGUAAUAUGAUUAAUUGAACUUAAAUUUAUCAUGAACUUAGUCCUGAUCGUAUUUUGCAAAUUAUGUUGUAAAAUCAAUAGCUUGUGUUGUUGCUUUCAUAUGUUUAUUUUGAUAUGUUCCUAGAGAAAAUUGUGUUGAAAAAUGUUAGUAGCAAUGAUGCGGAUUUGAUCCGCGAUCUGAGGUUUAUCCUCAUUGCUGCACAGAAGAAUUAUGUCCUUGAUGCACCGCUAGGUGACGGACCUAUUGCAGGAGCAGAUGCAGACGUUAUGAACGUUUGGCUAGCUCAAUAUGAUGACUACUUGAUAGUUUAAGUGCACCAUGCUUAACGGCUUAGAAUCGGGACUUCAAAGAUGUUUUGAACAUCAUGGACCAUAUGAGAUGUUCUAGUAAUUGAAGUUAAUAUUUCAAGCAAAUACCCGAGUUGAGAGAUAUGAAGUCUCCAAACAAGUUCUAUAGCUAAAAGAUGGGGGAGAAUCGCUCAACUAGUGAGCAUGUGCUCAGAUUGUCUGGGUACUUCAAUUGCUUGAAUCAAGUGGGAGUUAAUCUUCCAGAUAAGAUAGUGAUUGACAGAAUUCUCUAGUCACCAUCACUAAGUUACUGAACUUCAUGAUGAACUAUAGUAUGCAAGGGAUGACGAAAACGAUUCCCGAGCUCUUCGUGAUAUUGAAAUCGACGAAGGUAGAAAUCAAGAAAGAGCAUCAAGUGUUGAUGAUUGACAAGACCACUAGUUUCAAGAAAAGGGCAAAGGGAAGAAGGGGAACUUCAAGAAGAACAGCAAGCAAGUUGCUGCUCAAGUGAAGAAGCCCAAGUCUGGUCCUAAGCCUGAGACUAAGUGCUUCUACUGCAAAGGGACUGGUCACUGGAAGCGGAUCUACCCCAAGUGAUUGGCGGAAAAGAAGGAUGGCAAAGUGAACAUAAGUAUAUUUGAUAUACAUGUUAUUGAUGUGUACUUUACUAGUGUUUAUAGCAACCCCUCAGUAUUUGAUACUAGUUCAGUUGCUAAGAUUAGUAACUCAAAACGGGAGUUGCAGAAUAAACAGAGACUAGUUAAGGGUGAAGUGACGAUGUAUGUUGGAAGUGGUUCCAAGAUUGAUAUGAUCAUCGUCGCACACUCCCUAUACUUUCGGGAUAGUGUUGAACCUGAAUAAGUGUUAUUUGGUGUUGGCGUUGAGCAUGAAUAUGAUUUGAUCAUGUUUAUUGUAAUACGGUUAUUCAUUUAAGUAAGAGAAUAAAUUGUUGUUCUGUUUACAUGAAUGAAACCUUAUAUGGUUACACACCCAAUGAAAAUAGUUCGUUGGAUCUCGAUCAUAGUGAUACACAUAAUCAUAAUAUUGAAACCAAAAGAUGCAAAGUUAAUAAUGAUAAAUGCAACUUGUUUGUAGCACUGCCGUUUAGGUCAUAUUGGUGUAAAGUGCAUGAAGAAACUCCAUACUGAUGGGCUUUUGGAAUCACUUGAUUAUGAAUCAGUUGAUGCUUGCGAACCAUGCCUCAUGGGCAAGAUGACUAAGACUCUGUUCUUCGGAACAAUGGAGCGAGCAAUAGAUUUGUUGAAAAUCAUACAUACUGAUGUAUGUGGUCCGAUGAAUAUUGAGGCUCGCGACAGGUAUCAUUAUUUUCUGAUCUUCACAGAUGAUUUGAGCAGAUAUGAGUAUAUCUACUUGAUGAAACAUAAGUCUGAAACAUUUGAAAAGUUCAAAGAAUUUCAGAGUGAAGUGAAAAAUCAUCGUAACAAGAAAAUAAAGUUUCUACGAUCUGAUCGUAGAGAAGAGUAUUUGAGUUACGAGUUUGGCCUUCAGUUAAAAACAAUGUGAAAUAGUUUCACUACUCAUGCCACCUAGAACACCACAAUGUAAUGGUGUGUCCGAACGUCAUAACCGUACUUUAUUAGAUAUGGUGCGAUCUAUGAUGUGUCUUAUCGAUCUACCACUAUCGUUUUGGGGUUAUGCAUUAGAGACAGCUGCAUUCACGUUAAAUAGGGCACCAUCUAAAUCCGUUGAGACGACACCGUGUGAACUAUGGUUUGGCAAGAAACCUAAGCUGUCGUUUCUUAAAUUUGGGGUUGCGAUGCUUAUAUGAAAAAGUUUCAUCCUGAUAAGCUCAAACUCAAAUCGGAGAAGUGCGUCUUCAUAGGAUAUCCAAAGGAAACUAUUGGAUACACCUUCUAUCACAGAUCCGAAAGGCAAGACUUUUGUUGCUAAAUUCGGAAACUUUCUGGAGAAGGAGUUUCUCUCGAAAGAAGUGAGUGGGAGGAAAGUAGAACUUGAUGAAGUAAUUGUACCUUCUCCCUUAUUGGAAAGUAGUUCAUCACAGAAAUCUGUUCCUGUGACUACUACACCAAUUAGUGAGGAAGCUAAUGAUGAUGAUCAUGUAACUUCAGAUCAAGUUACUACCGAAUAUCGUAGCUAAACCAGAGUGAGAUCCGCACCAGAGUGGUACGGUGAUCCUGUUCUGGAAGUCAUGUUACUAGACCAUGAUAAACCUACGAACUAUGAGGAAGCGAUGAUGAGCCCAGAUUCCGCGAAAUGGCUUGAGGCCGUGAAAUCUGAGAUUGGAUCCAUGUAUGAAAACAAAGUGUGGACUUUGGUAGAGUUGCCCGUUGAUCGGCAAGCCAUAUUGUAUAAAUGGAUCUUUAAAGAGGAAGACAGACGUUGAUAGUAGUGUUACUAUCUACAAAGCUCGACUUGUCGCAGAAGAGUUUUCGACAAGUUCAAGGUAUUGACUACAAUGAGAUUUUCUCAACUGUAGCGAUGCUUAAGUCUGUCCGAAUCAUGUUAGCAAUUGCCACAUUUUAUGAAAUCUGGCAAAUGGAUGUCAAAACUGCAUUCCUUAAUGGUUUUCUUAAAGAAGAGUUGUAUAUGAUGCAACCAGAAGGUUUUGUCAAUCCUAAAGGUGUUAACAAAAUGUGCAAGCUCCAGCGAUCCAUCUAUGGACUGGUGCAAGCAUCUCAGAGUUGGAAUAUACGUUUUGAUAUGUUGAUCAAAGCAUAUAGUUUUGUACAGACUUAUGAUGAAGCCUGUAUUUACAAGAAAGUGAGUGGGAGCACUACAGCAUUUCUGAUAAGUAUAUGUGAAUAACAUAUUUUUGAUCAGAAAUAAUGUAGAAUUCUUCUGCAAAGCAUAAAAGAGUGUUUUAAAGGAGUUCUUUAAAAGGAAAAGACCUCAGUAAAAGCUACUUACAUAUUGAGCAUCAGGAUCUAUUGAGAUAGAUCAAGACGCUUGAUAAGAUUUUCAAUGAGUACAUACCUUGGCAAGAUUUUGAAAUAGUUCAAAAUGGAACAGUCAAAGAAAGAGUUCUUGCCUGUGUUGCAAAGGUGUUAAAUUGAGUAAUACUCAAAUCCUGACCACGGCAGAAAAUAGAAAAGAGAAUGAAAGUCAUUCCCUAUGCCUCAGUCAUAGGUUCUAUAAAGUAUGUUAUGCUAUGUACCAGACCUAUUGUAUACCUUGCUCUGAAUUUGGCAAGGGAGUACAAUAGUGAUCUAGGAGUAGAUCACUGGACAUUGGUCAAAAGUUAUCCUUAGUGGAAUAAGGAUAUGUUUCUCAAUUAUGGAGGUGACAAAAGGUUUGUCGUAAAAGGUUACGCCGAUACAAGUUUUGGCACUGAUCCAGAUGACUCUAAGUCUUAAUCUGGAUACAUAUUGAAAGUGGGAGCAAUUAGCUAGAGUAGCUCCGUGCAGAGCAUUGUUGACAUAGAAUAUUUGCAAAAUACAUACGGCUCUGAAUAUGACAGACCGAUUGACUAAACCUCUCUCACGAGCAAAACAUGAUCACACCUUAGUACUCUUUGGGCAUUAAUCACAUAGCGAUGUGAACUAGAUUAUUGACUCUAGUAAACCCUUUGGGUGUUGGUCACAUGACGAUGUGAACUAUGGGUGUUAAUCAUAUACAGAUAUGAUUAUUAGUGUUAAAUCACAUGGCGAUGUGAACUAGAUUAUUGACUCUAGUGCAAGUGGGAGACUGAAGGAAAUAUGCCCUAGAGGCAAUAAUAAAGUUAUUAUUUAUUUCCUUAUAAUCAUGAUAAAUGUUUAUUAUUCAUGCUAGAAUUGUAUUUACCGGAAACAUAAUACAUGUGUGAAUACAUAGACAAACAAAGUCACUAGUAUGCCUCUACUUGACUAGCUCGUUAAUCAAAGAUGGUUAUGUUUCCUAACCAUAAACAAUGAGUUGUUAUUUGAUUAACGAGGUCACAUCAUUAGUAGAAUGAUCUGAUUGACAUGACCCAUUCCAUUAGCUUAGCACCCGAUCGUUUAGUAUGUUGCUAUUGCUUUCUUCAUGACUUAUACAUGUUCCUAUGACUAUGAGAUUAUGCAACUCCCGUUUACCGGAGGAACACUUUGGGUACUACCAAACGUCACAACGUAACUGGGUGAUUAUAAAGGAGUACUACAGGUGUCUCCAAUGGUCGAUGUUGGGUUGGUGUAUUUCGAGAUUAGGAUUUGUCACUCCGAUUGUCGGAGAGGUAUCUCUGGGCCCUCUCGGUAAUACACAUCACAUAAGCCUUGCAAGCAUUACAACUAAAUAUGUUAGUUGUGAGAUGAUGUAUUACGGAACGAGUAAAGAGACUUGCCGGUAACGAGAUUGAACUAGGUAUUGGAUACCGACGAUCGAAUCUCGGGCAAGUAACAUACCGAUGACAAAGGGAACACCGUAUGUUGUUAUGCGGUCUGACCGAUAAAGAUCUUCGUAGAAUAUGUAGGAGCCAAUAUGGGCAUCCAGGUCCCGCUAUUGGUUAUUGACCAGAGACAUGUCUCGGUCAUGUCUACAUUGUUCUCGAACCCGUAGGGUCCGCACGCUUAAGGUUACGAUGACAGUUAUAUUAUGAGUUUAUGCAUUUUGAUGUACCGAAGGUUGUUCGGAGUCCCGGAUGUGAUCACGGACAUGACGAGGAGUCUCGAAAUGGUCGAGACAUAAAGAUUGAUAUAUUGGAAGUCUAUGUUUGGACAUCGGAAGUGUUCCGGGUGAAAUCGGGAUUUUACCGGGUUACCGGGAGGUUACCGGAACCCCCCGGGAGCCAUAUGGGCCAUUAUGGGCCUUAGUGGAAAGGAGAAAGGGGCAGCCCAAGGGGGCUGCGCGCCUCCCCCCUUCCCCUAGUCCUAUUAGGACUAGGAGAGGUGGCCGGCCACCCCUCUCCCUCUUUCCCCCUUGGGAAUCCUAGUUGGAAUAGGAUUGGAGGGGAGUCCUACUCCCGGUAGGAGUAGGACUCCUCCUGCGCCACCUCCUCCUGGCCGGCGCCUCCUCCCCCCCUUGGCUCCUUUAUAUACUGAGGCAGGGGCACCUCUAAACACACAAGUUGACACAAGUUGAUCCACGUGAUCGAUUCCUUAGCCGUGUGCGGUGCCCCCUGCCACCAUAUUCCUCGAUAAUACUGUAGCGGAGUUUAGGCGAAGCCCUGCUGCUGUAGUUCAUCAAGAUCGUCACCACGCCGUCGUGCUGACGGAACUCUUCCCCGACACUUUGCUGGAUCGGAGUCCGGGGAUCGUCAUCGAGCUGAACGUGUGCUCGAACUCGGAGGUGCCGUAGUUUCGGUGCUUGAUCGGUUGGAUCGUGAAGACGUACGACUACUUCCUCUACGUCGUGUCAUCGCUUCCGCAGUCGGUCUGCGUUGGGUACGUAGACAACACUCUCCUCUCGUUGCUAUGCAUCACAUGAUCCUGUGUGCGCGUAGGAAAUUUUUUGAAAUUACUACGAAACCCAACAGUUCAAGGGGUUGACUACGAUGAGACUUUCUCACCCAUAGCGAAGCUGAAGUCCGUCCGAAUCAUGUUAGCAAUUGCCGCAUUCUAUGAUUAUGAGAUAUGGCAAAUGGACGUCAAAACGGCAUUCCUUAAUGGUUUCCUUAAGGAAGAAUUGUAUAUGAUGCAGCCGGAAGGUUUUGUCGAUCCUAAGAAUGCUGACAAGGUGUGCAAGCUCCAACGCUCGAUUUAUGGGCUGGUGCAAGCAUCUCGGAGUUGGAACAUUCGCUUUGAUGAGAUGAUCAAAGCGUUUGGGUUUAUGCAGACUUAUGGAGAAGUCUGCAUUUACAAGAAAGUGAGAGGGAGCUCUGUAGCAUUUCUCAUAUUGUAUGUGGAUGACAUACUGUUGAUGGGAAAUGAUAUAGAAUUCUUGGAAAGCAUAAAGGCCUACUUGAACAAGUGUUUUUCAAUGAAGGACCUUGGAGAAGUUGCUUAUAUAUUAGGCAUCAAGAUCUAUAGAGAUAGAUCGAGACGCCUCAUUGGUCUUUCACAGAGUACGUACCUUGACAAGAUAUUGAAGAAGUUCAAAAUGGAUCAGUCAAAGAAGGGGUUCUUGCUUGUAUUGCAAGGUAUGAGAUUGAGCACGGCUCAAUGCCCGACCACGGCAGAAGAUAGAGAAAAGAUGAGUGUCGUCCCCUAUGCCUCGGCCAUAGGGUCUAUCAUGUAUGCUAUGCUGUGUACGAGACCUGAUGUAAACCUUGCCGUAAGUUUGGUAGGAAGGUACCAAAGUAAUCCCGGCAUGGAACACUGGACAGCGGUCAAGAAUAUCCUGAAGUACCUGAAAAGGACUAAGGAAAUGUUUCUCGUUUAUGGAGGUGACGAAGAGCUCGUCAUAAAGGGUUACGUCGAUGCUAGCUUCGACACAGAUCUGGAUGACUCUAAGCCACAAACCGGAUACAUGUAUAUUUUGAAUGGUGGGGCAGUAAGCUGGUGCAGUUGCAAGCAAAGCGUUGUGACGGGAUCUACAUGUGUGAUGUCUACUACACAACCUUCUUCUUGUAGACGUUGUUGGGCCUCCAAGUGCAGAGGUUUGUAGGACAGUAGCAAAUUUCCCUCAAGUGGAUGACCUAAGGUUUAUCAAUCCGUAGGAGGCGUAGGAUGAAGAUGGUCUCUCUCAAGCAACCCUGCAACCAAAUAACAAAGAGUCUCUUGUGUCCCCAACACACCCAAUACAAUGGUAUAUUGUAUAGGUGCACUAGUUCGGCGAAGAGAUGGUGAUACAAGUGCAAAAUAGAUGGUAGAUAUAGGUUUUUGUAAACUGAAAAUAUAAAAACAGCAUGGUAGCGAGUGGUAAAAGUGAGCGUAAAUGGUAUUGCAAUGAUAGGAAACAAGGCCUAGGGUUCAUACUUUCACUAGUGUAAGUCCUCUCAACAAUACUAACAUAAUUGGAUCAUGAAAUUAUCCCUCAACAUGCAACAAAGAGUCACUCCAAAGUCACUAAUAGCGGAGAACGAACGAAGAGAUUAUGGUAGGGUACGAAACCACCUCAAAGUUAUUCUUUCCAAUCAAUUCGUUGGGCUAUUCCUAUAAGUGUCACAAACAGCCCUAGAGUUCGUACUAGAAUAACACCUUAAGAUACAAAUCAACCAAAACCCUAAUGUCACCUAGAUACUUCAAUGUCACCUCAAGUAUCCGUGGGCAUGAUUAUAUGAUAUGCAUCACACAAUCUCAGAUUUAUCCAACCAACAUAAAAGUACUUCAAAUAGUGCCCCAAAGUUUCUACGGGAGAAUCAAGAACGUGUGCCAACCCCUAUCCAUAGGUUCAUGGGCGGAACCCGCAAGUUGGUCACCAAAACAUACAUCAAGUGGCACGUGAUAUCCCAUUGUCACCACAGAUAAGCACGGCAAGACAUACAUCAAGUGUUCAUAAAAGACUCAAUCCGAUAAGAUAACUUCAAAGGGGAAACUCAAUUCAUCACAAGAGAGUAGAGGGGGAGAAGAAACAUAAGAUCCAACUACAAUAGCAAAGCUCGGGAUACAUCAAGAUCGUGCCAUAGAUGGAACACAAGAGAGAACACGAGAGAGAGAUCAAACACAUAGCUACUGGUACAUACCCUCAGCCCUGAGGGUGAACUACUCCCUCCUCGUCAUGGAUAGCGCCGGGAUGAUGAAGAUGGCCACCGGAGAUGGAUCCCCCCUCCGGCAGGAUACCGGAAAGGGGUCCCGAUUGGUUUUUCAUGGUUCUGGAGGCUUGCGGCGGCGGAACUCCCGAUCUAUCUUCUCCUGGAUGUUUUUAGGGUAUAUGGAGAUAUAUAGGCGGAAGAAGUAUGCCAGGGGAGCUCCGAGGGGCCCACGAGGCAGGGGGCGCGCCCAGGGGGGGCGUGCCCUCCACCCUCGUGACCUCCCCGGAAACUUCUUGGAGUAGGGUCCAAGUCUCCUGGAUCACGUUCGGUGAGAAGAUCACGUUCCCGAAGGUUUCAUUCUGUUUGGACUCCGUUUGAUAUUCUGUUUCCUCGAAAUACUGAAAUAGGCAAAAAAACAGCAAUUCUGGGCUGGGCCUCCGGUUAAUAGGUUAGUCCCAAAAAUAAUAUAAAAGUGGAAAAUAAAGCCCAAUAUAGUCCAAAACGGUAGAUAAAGUAGCAUGGAGCAAUCAAAAAUUAUAGAUACGUUGGAGACGUAUCAGGCAUCCCCAAGCUUAAUUCCUGCUCGUCCUCGAGUAGGUAAAUGAUAAAAAGAGAAUUUUUGAUGCGGAGUGAUACUUUGGCAUAAUUUCAAUGUAAAUCUUCUUAAUCAUGGUAUGAAUAUCAGAUCCAAAAGGUUCAAGACAAAAGUUCAUAUUGACAUAAAAAUGAUAAUACUUCAAGCAUACUAAUUAAACAAUUAUGUCAUCUCAAAAUAACAUGGCCAAAGGAAGUUCAUCCCUACAAAAUCAUAUAGUUAGGCUAUGCUUCAUUUUCGUCACACAAAGAUAUUCCCAACUUCUAUACCCCCGAUGACAAGCCAAGCAAUUGUUUCAUACUCAAAUAAUCUCAAACUUUUUCAACCUUCAUGCAAUACAUGAGCGCGAGCCAUGUACAUAGCACUAUGGGUGGUAUAUAAUAUGAUGAUGGGGAUUGUGUGGAGAAGACAAAAAAGGAGAAAGUCUCACAUCAACGAGGCUAAUCAAUGAGCUAUGGAGAUGCCCAUCAAUUGAUGUUAAUGCAAGGAGUAGGGAUUGCCAUGCAACGGAUGCACUAGAGCUAAGAAUGCUCAACAAAAGAAAACUAGUGGGUGUGCAUCCAACUUUCUUGCUCAUGAAGACCUAGGGCAUUUUGAGGAAGCCCAUCGUUGGAAUAUACAAGCCAAGUUCUAUAAUGAAAAAUUCCCACUAGUAUGAACAAGACAACUUAUGAGACUCACUAUAUGAAAUCAUGGUGCUACUUUGAAGCACAAUAUAUGAGACUCACUACAUGAAGAACAAGGUGCUACUUUGAAGCACAAGUGUGGAAAAAGAGAUAGUAGCAUUGCCCUUUUUAUUUUCUCUUUUUUUGGGCCUUUCUUUUUUUUCUUUUUGGCCUUUCUCUUUUUUUUGAUUGGGCAAUGCUCUAAUAAUGAUGAUCAUCACACUUCUAUUGAUUACAACAUAAUGAUUACAACUCGAUACUAGAACAAGAUAUGACUCUAUAUCAAUACCUCCGGCGGUGUACCGGGAUGGUGCAAUGAAUCAAGAGUGACAUGUAUGAAAAAUAAUGCAUGGUGGCUUUGCCACAAAUACGAUGUCAACUACAAGAUCAUGCAAUGGCAAUAUGACAAAAGUAAAGCAUGUCAUGAUGAUGAUGAUGAUGAUGAUGGUGGAAGUUGCAUGGCAAUAUAUCUUGGAAUGGCUAUGGAAAUGCCAUGAUAGGUAGGUAUGGUGGCUGUUUUGAGGAAGAUAUAGAGAGGUUUAUGUGUGAAAGAGCGUAUCAUAUCACGGGGUUUGGAUGCACCGGUGAAGUUUGCACCAACUCUCAAUGUGAGAAAGGGCAAUGCACGGUACCGAAGAGGCUAGCAAAUGGCGGAAAGGUAAAAGUGCGUAUAAUCCAUGGACUCAACAUUAGUCAAAAGAACUCAUAUACUUAUUGCAAAAAAUUUAGAAGUCAUAAAAAAUCAAGUACUACGUGCAUGCUCCUAGGGGGAUAGAUUGGUAGGAAAAGACCAUCGCUCGUCCCCGACCGCCACUCAUAAGGAUGCACAAGCCAGGUACACUUCAUGCUUCAAAUUUGUUACACAACUUUAACCAUACGUGCAUGCUACGGGACUUGCUAACUUCAACACAAGUAUUUCUCAAAUUCACAACUACUCAACUAGCACGACUAUGAUAUUAUCACCUCCAUAUCUCAAAACAAUUAUCAAGCAUCAAACUUAUCUUAGUAUUCAACCCACUAAAAAGAAAGUUUCACAUAUCUUGAAUACCAAGUAUAUUAACAUUAAGCAAAUUACCAUGCUAUUAACGACUCUCAAAAUAAUCUAAGUGAAGCAUGAGAGAUCAAGUUUCUUUAAAAGAAUCCACCACCGUGCUCUAAAAGAUCUAAGUGAAGCACUAGAGCAAAAAUUAUCACGCUCAAAAAGAUAUAAGUGAAGCACAUAGAGUAUUCUAACAAAUUUCAAUUCAUACAUGGCUCUCUCAAAAGGUGUGUACAGCAAGGAUGAUUGUGGUAGACUAACAAGCAAAGACACAAAUAAUACAAGACGCUCCAAGCAAAACACAUAUCAUGUGGUGAAUAAAAAUAUAGCUCCAAGUAAAUUACCGAUGGAAGUGGACGAAAGAGGGGAUGCCUUCCGGGGCAUCCCCAAGCUUUGAAUUUUUGGUGUCCUUGGAUUAUCUUGGGGGUGCCAUGGGCAUCCCCAAGCUUAGGCUCUUGCCACUCCUUGUUCCAUAAUCCAUCAAAAGAAUUCACCCAAAACUUGAAAACUUCACAACACAAAACUCAAUAGAAAUCUCGUGAGCUCCGUUAGAGAAAGAAAACAAAAGACUACUUUAAGGUACUGUAGUGAAAUUGUUCUUUAUUUGUAUUGGUGUUAAACCUACUGUAUUCCAACUUCUCUAUGGUUUAUAAACUAUUUUACUGGCCAUAGAUUCAUCAAAAUAAGCAAACAACACACGCAAAACAGAAUCUGUCAAAAACAGAACAGUCUGUAGUAAUAUGGAUCAAACGUAUACUUCUGGAACCCAAAAAAUUCUAAAAUAAAUUUCUGGACCUGAGGAAUUUAUCUAUUAAUCAUCUUCAAAAGGAAUUAACUAAAUAGCACUCUCCAAUAAAAAAUGGCAUCAAUUCUCGUGAGCGCUAAAGUUUCUGUUUUUGACAGCAUGAUCAACAAGACUUUCCCCAAGUCUUCCCAAAGGUUCUAGUUGGCACAAACACUAAUUAAAAACAUAAAACCACAUCUAAGCAGAGGCUAGAUGAAUUAUUUAUUACUAAACAGGAACAAAAAGCAAUGAACAAAAAUAAAGUUGGGUUGCCUCCCAACAAGCGCUAUCGUUUAACGCCCCUAGCUAGGCAUGAUGAUUUCAAUGAUGCUCAUAUAAAAGAUAAGAAUUGAAACAUAAAGAGAGCAUCAUUAAGAAUAUGACUAGCACAUUUAAGUCUAACAUAAUUCCUAUGCAUAGGUAUUUUUUGAGAAAACAACUUGUGGGGACAAGAAUCAACUUGCAUAGGAAGGUAAAACAAGCAUAACUUCAAAAUUUUAAGCACAUAGAGAGGAAACUUGAUAUUAUUGCAAUUCCUACAAGCAUAUAUUCCUCCCUCAUAAUAAUUUUAAGUAGCAUCAUGAAUGAAUUCAACAAUAUAACCAGCACCUAAAGCAUUCUUUUCAUGAUCUACAAGCAUAGAAAAUUUACUACUCUCCACACAAGCAAAAUUCUUCUCAUUAAUAAUGGUGGGAGCAAACUCAACAAAAUAACUAUCAUGUGAUUGAAAAUCAAGAUCAAGAUGACAAGUUUCAUUGUUAUUAUUAUUCUUUAAAGCAUACGUGUCAUCACAAUAAUCAUCAUAGAUAGGAGGCUUGCUUUCAUCAUAGUAAAUUUGCUCAUCAAAGCUUGGGGGACAAAAAAUAUCAUCUUCAUCAAACAUAGCUUCUCCAAGCUUGUGGCUUUGCAUAUCAUUAGCAUCAUAGAUAUUCAAGGAAUUUAUACUAACAACAUUGCAAUCAUGCUCAUCAUUCAAAUAUUUAGUGCCAAACAUUUUAUAGAUUUCUUCUUCUAGCACUUGAGCACAAUUAUCCUUUCCAUCAUACUCACGAAAGAUAUUAAAAAGGUGAAGCGUAUGAGACAAACUCAAUUCAAUUUUUUGUAAUUUCUUUUAUAAACUAAACUAGUGAUAAAACAAGAAACUAAAAGACUCGAUUGCAAGAUCUAAAGAUAUACCUUCAAGCACUAACCUCCUCGGAAACGGCGCCAGAAAAGAGCUUGAUGUCUACUACACAACCUUCUUCUUGUAGACGUUGUUGGGCCUCCAAGUGCAGAGGUUUGUAGGACAGUAGCAAAUUUCCCUCAAGUGGACGACCUAAGGUUUAUCAAUCCGUAUGAGGCGUAGGAUGAAGAUGGUCUCUCUCAAGCAACCCUGCAACCAAAUAACAAAGAGUCUCUUGUGUCCCCAACACACCCAAUACAAUGGUAUAUUAUAUAGGUGCACUAGUUCGGCGAAGAGAUGGUGAUACAAGUGCAAAAUAGAUAGUAGAUAUAGGUUUUUGUAAACUGAAAAUAUAAAAACAGCAAGGUAGCAAGUGGUAAAAGUGAGCGUAAACGGUAUUGCAAUGAUAGGAAACAAGGCCUAGGGUUCAUACUUUAGUGUAAGUCCUCUCAACAAUACUAACAUAAUUGGAUCAUAAAAUUAUCCCUCAACAUGCAACAAAGAGUCACUCCAAAGUCACUAAUAGCGGAGAAUGAACGAAGAGAUUAUGGUAGGAUACGAAACCACCUCAAAGUUAUUCUUUCCAAUCAAUACGUUGGGCUAUUCCUAUAAGUGUCACAAACAGCCCUAGAGUUCGUACUAGAAUAACACCUUAAGAUACAAAUCAACCAAAACCCUAAUGUCACCUAGAUACUUCAAUGUCACCUCAAGUAUCCAUAGGCAUGAUUAUACGAUAUGCAUCACACAAUCUCAGAUUUAUCCAACCAACAUAAAAGUACUUCAAAUAGUGCCCCAAAGUUUCUACCGGAGAAUCAAGAACGUGUGCCAACCCCUAUGCAUAGGUUCAUGGGCGGAACCCACAAGUUGGUCACCAAAACAUACAUCAAGUGGCACGUGAUAUCCCAUUGUCACCACAGAUAAGCACGGCAAGACAUACAUCAUAAAAGACUCAAUCCGAUAAGAUAACUUCAAAGGGGAAACUCAAUUCAUCACAAGAGAGUAGAGGGGGAGAAGAAACAUAAGAUCCAACUACAAUAGCAAAGCUUGGGAUACAUCAAGAUCUUGCCAUAGAUGGAACACAAGAGAGAGAGAGAUCAAACACAUAGCUACUGGUACAUACCCUCAGCCCCGAGGGUGAACUACUCCCUCCUCGUCAUGGAUAGCGCCGGGAUGAUGAAGAUGGCCACCGAAGAUGGAUCCCCCCUCCGGCAGGGUACCGGAAAGGGGUCCCGAUUGGUUUUUCGUGGUUCUGGAGGCUUGCGGCGGCAGAACUCCCGAUCUAUCUUCUCCCGGAUGUUUUUAGGGUAUAUGGAGAUAUAUAGGCGGAAGAAGUACAUCAGGGGAGCUCCGAGGGGCCCACGAGGCAGGGGGCGCGCCCAGGGAGGGGGGCGCACCCUCCACCCUCGUGACCUCCCCAGAAACUUCUUGGAGUAGGGUCCAAGUCUCUUGGAUCACGUUCCCGAAGGUUUCAUUCCGUUUGGACUCCGUUUGAUAUUCUGUUUCCUCGAAAUACUGAAAUAGGCAAAAAAACAGCAAUUCUGGGCUGGGCCUCCGGUUAAUAGGUUAGUCCCAAAAAUAAUAUAAAAGUGGAAAAUAAAGCCCAAUAUUGUCCAAAACAGUAGAUAAAGUAGCAUGGAGCAAUAAAAAAUUAUAGAUACGUUGGAGACGUAUCAAUGUGAAGCGGAGUACAUAGCAGCCUCGGAGGCAGCACAAGAAGCAGUCUGGGUGAAGGAGUUCAUUACCGACCUAGGAGUCAUACCCAAUGCAUCGGGCCCGAUGACUCUCUUCUGUGACAACACUGGAGCUAUUGCCCUUGCCAAGGAGCCCAGGUUUCACAGGAAGACCAGGCAUAUCAAGCGGUCGCUUCAACUCCAUUCGUGAAAGUGUUCAAAAUGGAGACAUAGAAAUCCGUAAAGUACAUACGGACCUGAAUGUAGCAGAUCCAUUGACUAAACCUCUCCCUAGUGCAAAACAUGAUCAACACCAGAACUGCAUGGGUGUUCGAUUCAUCACAAUGUAACUAGAAUAUUGACUCUAGUGCAAGUGGGAGACUGUUGGAAAUAUGCCCUAGAGGCAAUAAUAAAAUGGUUAUUAUUAUAUUUCUUUGUUCAUGAUAAUUUUCUAUUGUUCAUGCUAUAAUUGUGUUAUCCGGAAAUUGUAAUACAUGUGUGAAUAUAUAGACCACAACACGUCCCUAGUGAGCCUCUAGUUGACUAGCUCGUUGAUCAAAGAUAGUCAUGGUUUCCUGACUAUGGACAUUAGAUGUCAUUGAUAAUGGGAUCACAUCAUUAGGAGAAUGAUGUGAUGGACAAGACCCAAUCCUAAGCUUAGCUCAAAGAUCGUGUAGUUCGUUUGCUGUAGCUUUUCUGAAUGUCAAGUAUCAUUUCCUUAGACCAUGAGAUUGUGCAACUCCCGGAUACCGUAGGAGUGCCUUGGGUGUGCCAAACGUCACAACGUAAAUGGGUGACUAUGAAGGUACAUUACAGGUAUCUCCGAAAGUGUCUGUUGGGUUGGCACGAAUCGAGACUGGGAUUUGUCACUCCGUAUGACGGAGAGGUAUAUCUGGGCCCACUCGGUAAUGCAUCAUCAUAAUGAGCUCAAAGUGAUCAAGUGAUUGAUCACGGGAUCAUGCAUUACGGUACGAGUAAAGUGACUUGCCGGUAACGAGACUGAACAAGGUAUUGGGAUAUCGACGAUCGAGUCUCGGGCAAGUAACGUACCGAUUGACAAAGGGAAUUGUAUACGGAUUGAUUGAAUCCUCAACAUCGUGGUUCAUCCGAUGAGAUCAUCGUGGAGCUUGUGGGAGCCAACAUGGGUAUCCAGAUCCCGCUGUUGGUUAUUGACCGGAGAGGCUUCUCGGUCAUGUCUGCAUGUCUCCCGAACCCGUAGGGUCUACACACUUAAGGUUCGAUGACGCUAGGGUUGUAGAGAUAUUAGCACACAGUAACCCGAAAGUUGUUAGGAGUCCCGGAUGAGAUCCCGGACAUCACGAGGAGUUCAAGAAUGGUCCGGAGGUAAAGAUUUAUAUAUAGGAAGUCCAGUUUCGGCCUUCGGGAAGGUUUCGGGGUCAACGGUAUUGUACCGGGACCACCGGAAGGGUCCGGGGGUCCACCGGGUGGGGCCACCUAUCCUAGAGGGCCCCAUGGGCUGAAGUGGGAGGGGAACCAGCCCCUAGUGAGCUGGUGCGCCCCCCCCUUGGGCCUCCCCCUGCGCCUAGGGUUAGAAACCCUAGGGGUGGGGGCGCCACCCUUGCCUUGGGGGGCAAGGCACCCCCUUGGCCGCCGCCCCCCUAUGAGAUUGGAUCUCCUAGGGCCGGCGCCCUCCCUUAGGCACCCUAUAUAUAGUGGGGGGGAGGGAGGGCUGUGCACCCAAGCCCCUGGCCUCUCCCUCUCCCUCCCGUGACACUCCUCCAUCUCCCAGCGCUUGGCAAAGCCCUGCCGAGAUCACCGUUGCUUCCACCACCACGCCGUCGUGCUGCUGGAUCUUCAUCAACCUCUCCUUCCCCCUUGCUGGAUCAAGAAGGAGGAGACGUCUCCCAACCGUACGUGUGUUGAACGCGGAUGUUCUGUCCAUUCGGCACUAGGUCAUCGGUGAUUUGAAUCACGUCGAGUACGACUCCAUCAACCCCGUUCUCUUGAACGCUUCCGCUCGUGAUCUACAAGGGUAUGUAGAUGCACUCCUCUCUCCCUCGUUGCUAGAUGACUCCAUAGAUUGAUCUUGGUGAUGCGUAGAAAAUUUUAUAAUUCUGCUACGUUCCCCAACACCGGAACCACCGGAAAGGUCCCGGGGGUCCACCAGGUGGGGCCACCAGCCCCAGAAGGCUGCGUGGGCCAAGUGUGGGAGGGGACUAGCCCCAGGUGGGCUGGUGCAACCCCCCCCCACCAAGGCCCAAGGCGCAUGGAGAGUGGGAGGGGGGAAACCCUAGGUCCAGAUGGGCCUUAAGGCCCACCCUGGGGCGCCCCCUCUCUUCCCCCCUUGGCCGCACCCUAGAUGGGUUUUGGGGGCUGCCGCCACCCCUAGGGAUGGAACCCUAGAUGGGGGCGCAGCCCCUUCCCUUCCCCUAUAUAUACUUGAGGUAUGGGGCUGCCCAACAGAUGAUUUAGAUCUUCCUCUUGGCGCAACCCUACCUCUCUCCCUCCUCGUCUCUCGUAGUGCUUGGCAAAGCCCUGCUGGAGUCCCGCGCUCCUCCACCAUCACCACGCCAUCGUGCUGCUGCUGGACGGAGUCUUCCCCAACCUCUCCCUCUCUCCUUGCUGGAUCAAGGCGCGGGAGACGUCACCGGGCUGUACGUGUGUUGAACGCGAAGACGCCGUUGUUCGGUGCUUAGAUCGGAAUCGACCGCGAUCUGAAUUGCUGCGUGUACGACUCCACCAACCGCGUUCUUGCAACGCUUCUGCUUAGCGAUCUACAAGGGUAUGUAGAUGCACUCCCCUUCCCCUCGUUGCUAGAUUACUCCAUAGAUUGAUCUUGGUGAUGCGUAGAAAAUUUUAAAUUUCUGCUACGAUCCCCAACUGUGGCAUCAUGAGCUAGGUCUAUGCGUAGUUUCUAUGCAUGAGUAGAACACAAAGUAGUUGUGGGCGAUGAUUUGUUCAAUUUGCUUGCCAUUACUAGUCUUAUCUUGAUUCGGCGGCAUUGUGGGAUGAAACGGCCCGGACCGACCUUACACGUACGCUUACGUGAGACUGUUUCCACCGACUAACAUGCACUUGAUGCAUAAGGUGGCUGGCGGGUGUCUGUCUCUCCCACUUUAGUCGGAUCGGAUUCGAUGAAAAGGGUCCUUAUGAAGGGUAAAUAGCAAUUGGCAUAUCACCGUUGUGGUUUUGCGUAGGUAAGAAAUGUUCUUGCUAGAAACCCAUAGCAGCCACGUAAAAUAUGCAACAACAAUUAGAGGACGUCUAACUUGUUUUUGCAGGGUAUGCUAUGUGAUGUGAUAUGGCCAAAAGGAUGUGAUGAAUGAUAUAUGUGAUGUAUGAGAUUGAUCAUGUUCUUGUAAUAGGAAUCACAACUUGCAUGUUGAUGAGUAUGACAACCGGCAGGAGCCAUGGGAGUUGUCUUAAUUUAUUUAUGACCUACGUGUCAAUGAAAACGCCAUGUAAUUACUUUACUUUAUUGCUAACCGUUAGCCAUAGUAGUAGAAGUAAUAGUUGGCGACGCAACUUCAUGAAGACAUGAUGACGGAGAUCAUGGUGUCAUGCCGGUGACGAUGGUGUUCAUGCCACACAUCGAAGAUGGAGAUCAAAGGCGCAAGAUGAUAUUGGCCAUAUCAUGUCACUUUAUGAUUUGCAUGUGAUGUUUGUCAUGUUUACAUCUUAUUUGCUUAGAACGACGGUAGCAUAAAUAAGAUGAUCCCUCGCAAUAAUUUCAAGAAAGUGUUCCCCCUAACUGUGCACCGUUGCUAAGGUCCGUUGUUCCGAAGCACCACGUGAUGCUCGGGUGUGAUAGGUUCUAACGUUCGCAUACAACGGGUGUAAGCCAGAUUUACACACGCAAUACACUUAGGUUAACUUGACGAGCCUAGCAUGUACAGACAUGGCCUCGGAACACGGAAGACCGAAAGGUCGAACAUGAGUUGUAUAGUGGAUACGAUCAACAUGAAGAUGUUCACCGAUGAUGACUAGUCCGUCUCACGUGAUGAUCGGACACGGCCUAGGUGACUCGGAUCAUGUAUCACUUAGAUGACUAGAGGGAUGUCUAUCUAAGUGGGAGUUCAUUGAAUAAUUUGAUUAGAUGAACUUAAUUAUCAUGAACAUAGUCCAAAGGUCUUUGCAAAUUAUGUCGUAGCUCACACUUUGGUUCUAUUGUUUUAGAUAUGUUCCUAGAGAAAAUUUAGUUAAGAGUUGACAGUAGCAAUUAUGCGGACUGACUCCGUGAACUGAGGAUUGUCCUCAUUGCUACACAGAAGGGCUAUGUCCUUAAUGCACCGCUCAGUGUGUUGAACCUCGAGCGUCGUCUGUAGAUGUUGGGAAACAUCUGACAUACACGUUUUGAUGACUACGUGAUAGUUCAAUACGUAAUACUAACGGUUUAGAAUUGUGGCACCAGCGACGUUUUGAAACGUCGCAGAACAUAUGAGAUGUUCCAAAGACUGAAAUUGGAAUUUCAGACUAGUGCCCACGUCAAGAGGUAUGAGACCUUUGACAAGUUUCUUAAGCCUGCAAACUAAGGGAGAAAAACUCAAUCGUUGAGCAUGUGCUCAGAUUGUCUGAGUACUGCAAUUGCUUGAAUCAAGUGGGAGUUAAUCUUCCAGAUGAGAUAGUGAUAGUUCUCCAUAGUCACUACCACCAAGCUAUUAGAGCUUAGUGAUGAACUAUAACAUAUCAGGGAUAGACAUGAUGAUCCUUGAGCAACUCGCGAUGUUUGACACCACGAAAGUAGAAAUCAAGUAGGAUCAUCAAUUGUUGAUGGUUAAACCACUAGUUUCAAGAAGGGCAAGGGAAAGAAGGGAUACUUCAUGAGACAGCAAAUCAGUUACUGCUCUAGUGAAGAAACCCAAGGUUGAACCAAACCCGAGACUAAGUGCUUCUAUAAUGAGGGGAACGGUCACUGAAGCAGAACUACCCUAGAUACUUGGUAGAUGAGAAGGCUGGCAAGGUCGACAGAAGUAUUUUGGAUAUACGUCAUAUUAUUGUGUACUUUACUAGUACUCCUAGUAGCACCAGGGUAAUAAAUACCGGUUCGGUUGCUAAGCGUUAGUAACUCGAAAUAAAAGGCUGCGGAGACUAGCUAAAGGUGAGAUGAUGAUAUGUGUUGGAAGUGUUACCAAGGUUGAUGUGAUCAAACAUUGCACGCUCCCUCUACCAUCGGGAUUGGUGUUAAACCGAAAUAAUUGUUAUUUGGUGUUUACGUUGAGCAUAGACAUGAUUGGAUUAUGUUUAUCGCCACAUGGUUAUCCAUUUAAGGAGAAUAAUGGUUACUCUGUUUAUUUGAAUAAUGCCUUCAAUGGUCUUGCACCUAAAAUGAAUGGUUUAUUGAAUCUCGAUCGUAGUGAUACACAUGUUCAUGCCAAAAGAUAUAAGAUAGUAAUGAUAGUACCACGUACUUGUGGCACUGUCAUUUGAGUCAUGUUGGUAUAAAACGCAUGAAGAAGCUCCAUGUUGAUGGAUCUUUGGACUCACUCGUUUUGAAAGGAUUGAGACAUGCGAACCAUGUCUAUUGGUAGAUAUGCAUGAAGAAACUCCAUAUAGAUGGAUCGUUUGGACUCACUUGAUUUUGAAUCACUUGAGACAUGCAAAUCAUACCACAUGGGCAAGAUGACUGAAAUGCCUCGUUUUUAGUAAGAUGGAACAAGAAAGCAACUUGUUGGAAGUAAUACAUUUUUGAUGUGUGCAGUCCAAUGAGUGUUGAGGCACGCAGUGGAUAUCGUUAUGUUCUUACUUCAUAGAUGAUUUGAGUAAAUGCUGAGUAUAUUUACUUGAUGGAACACAUGUCUGAAUUAUUGAAAGGUUCAAGUAAUUUCAGAGUGAAGUUGAAGAUCGUCGUGACAAGAUGAUAAAAUAUCUAUGAUAUGAUCAUAGAGAUGAAUAUCUGAGUUACGAGUUUGGCACACAAUUAAGACAUUGUGGAAAUUGUUUCACACUAAUACCGCCUGGACCACCAUAGUGUGAUGGUGUGUCCGAACAUCACAACUACACCCUAUUGGAUAUGGUGCAUACCAUGAUGUCUCUUAUCGAAUUACCACUAUCAUUUAUGGGUUAGGCAUUAGAGACAACCGCACUCACUUUAAAUAGGGCACCACACAAUUCCGUUGAGACGACACCGUAUGAACUAUGGUUUAGAGAAACCUAAGCUGUCGUUCCUUAAAAGUUUGGGGCUGCGAUGCUUAUGUGAAAAGGUUUCAGGCUGAUAAGCUCGAACCCAAAGCAGAUAAAUGCAUCUUCAUAGAAUACCCUAAAAUAGUUGGGUAUACCUCCUAUUCUAGAUCCGGAAGCAAAAGUGAUUGUUUCUAGAAACAGGUCCUUUCUCGAGGAAAAGUUUCUCUCGAAAGAAUUGAGUGGGAUUAUGGUGGAGACUUGAUGAGGUUAUUGAACCGUCACUUCAACUAGUGUGUAGCAGGGCACAGGAAGUUGUUCCUGUGGCACCUACACCAAUUGAAGUGGAAGCUUAUGAUAAUGAUCAUGAAACUUCGGAUCAAGUCACGACCAAACCUCAUAGGUCGACAAGGAUGUGUACUACUUCAGAGUGGUACGUAAUCUUGUCAUGGAAAUCAUGUUGCUAGACAACAAUGAACCUACGAGCUAUGGAGAAGCGAUGGUGGGCCCGGAUUCUGACGAAUGGCUCAAGGCCAUAAAAUCUGAGAGAGGGUCCAUGUAUAAAACAAAGUAUAGACUUUGAAAAGAACUACUUGAUGGUCGUAAGGCUGUUGGGUGCAGAUGGAUUUUAAAAGGAAGAUGGACAAUGAUGGUAAGUGUCACCAUUAAGAAAGCCCGACUUGUCGUUAAGAUGUUUCUCGACAAGUUCAAGGAGUUGACUACGAUGAGACUUUCUCACUCAUAGUGAUGCUAAGAGUCUGUUGGAAUUAUGUUAGCAGUUACUGCAUUAUUUAUGAAAUCUUGCAGAUAGGAUGUCAAAACAUUGUUUCCUCAAUGUUUUUCUUGAGGAAAGGUUGUAUGUGAUACAACCAGAAGGUUUUGUCAAUCCUGAAAGAUGCUAACAAGUAUGCAAAGCUCCAGCAAUCCUUUUAAGGACUGGAGUAAGCAUCUCGGAAUUGGAAUGUACGCUUUGAUGAGAUGAUCAGAGAUUUUGGGUUUAUACAAAGUUUAUGAGAAACUUGUAUUUCCAAAGAAGUGAGUGGGAGCACUACAGAAUUUUUGAUGAGUAUAUGUUGUUCACAUAUUGUUGAUUAGAAAUGAUGUAGAAUUUCUGGAAAGCAUGCAGGGUUAUUUGAAAAGUGUUUUCCAAUGGAAAACCUGGAUUAAGCUACUUGAACACUGAGCAUCAAGAUCUAUCAGGAUAGAUCAAAAUCGCUUAAUAGUACUUUCAAACGAACACAUACCAUGACAAAAUUUUGAAGGAGUUCAAAAAUAGACCGGCAAAGGAGUUCUUGGCUGAGUUAUAAGGUAUGAGUAUUGAGUAAAACUCAAGACCUGACCACGAUAGAAUAGAGAGAAAGGACGAAGGUCGUCCCCUAUGCUUUGGACAUAGGCUCUAAAGUAUGCAAUGUUGUGUACCGCACCUGAAGUGUGCUAAGCCAUGAGUCAGUCAAGGGGUACAAGUGUGAUCUAGGAAUGGAUCACAGGAGAACGGUCAAGGUUAUCCUUAGUAACUAGUGGACUAAGGAAUUUUCUCGAUUAUGGAGGUGGUAAAAGAGUUCGUCGUAAAGGGUUACGUCGAUGCAAACUUUGACACUAAUCCGGAUGACUCUGAGUAGUAAACCGGAUUCGUAUAGUAGAACAGUUAUUUGGAAUAGCUCCAAAUAGCGCGUGGUAGCUGCAUCUACAAGAUGACAUAGAGAUUUGUAAAGCACACAUGGAUCUGAAAGGUUCAGACUCAUUGACUAAUAAACCUCUCUCACAAGCAAGAUAUGAACAAACCCCAUGGGUGUUGGAUUCAUUGCAAUCACAUAGUGAUGUGACCUAGAUUAUUGACUCUAGUGCAAGUGGGUGACUAUUGGAAAUAUGCCCUAGAGGCAAUAAUAAAUUAGUUAUUAUUAUAUUUCCUUGUUCAUGAUAAUCGUUUAUUAUCCAUGCUAGAAUUGUAUUGAUAGGAAACUCAGAUACAUGUGUGGAUACAUAGACAACGCCAUGUCCCUAGUAAGCCUCUAGUUGACUAGCUCGUUGAUCAAUAGAUGGUUACGGUUUCCUGACCAUGGACAUUGGAUGUCAUUGAUAACGGGAUCACAUCAUUAGGAGAAUGAUGUGAUGGACAAGACCCAAUCCUAAGCCUAGCACAAGAUCGUGUAGUUCGUAUGCUAAAGCUUUUCUAAUGUCAAGUAUCAUUUCCUUAGACCAUGAGAUUGUGUAACUCCCGGAUACCGUAGGAAUGCUUUGGGUGUACCAAAUGUCACAACGUAACUGGGUGGCUAUAAAGGUGCACUAUGGGUAUCUCCGAAAGUGUCUGUUGGCUUGGCACGAAUUGUUGGGGAACAUAGUAAUUUCAAAAAAAUUCCUACGCACACGCAAGAUCAUGGUGAUGAAUAGCAACGAGAGGGGAGAGUGUUGUCUACGUACCCACGUAGACCGGAAGCGGAAGCGUUAGCACAACGCGGUUGAUGUAGUCGUACGUCUUCACGGCCCGACCGAUCAAGCACCAAAACUACGGCACCUCCGAGUUCUAGCACACGUUCAGCUCGAUGAUCAUCCCCAGACUCCGAUCCAGCAAAGUGUCGGGGAAGAGUUCCGUCAGCACGACGGCGUGGUGAUGAUCUUGAUGUUCUACCGUCGCAGGGCUUCGCCUAAGCACCGCUACAAUAUUAUCGAGGAUUAUGGCGGAGGGGGGCACCGCACACGGCUAAGAGAACGAUCAUGAAGAUCAACUUGUGUGUCUAGAGGUGCCCCCCUGCCCCUGUAUAUAAAGGAGCAAGGGGGAGAGGCCGGCCAGCCCUUGGGGCGCACCAAGGAGGGGGGAGUCCUCCUCCUAGUAGGAGUAGGACUCCCCUUUCCUAGUCCAACUAGGAAGAGAGAAGGGGGAAGGAAAGAGAGGGAGAGGGAGAGGGAAAGAGGGGCUGCGCCCCCCUCCCCUAGUCCAAUUCGGACUCCCCAUGGGAGGGGGCGCACCACCUCCUGGGUUGCUGCCCUCUCUCUCCCCUCAGGCCCACUAAGGCCCAAUACUUCGGGGGGUUCCGGUAACCCUUCCGGCACUCCGGUUUUCUCUGAAAUCACCCGAAACACUUCCGGUGUCCGAAUAUAGCCGUCCAAUAUAUUGAUCUUUAUGUCUCGACCAUUUUGAGACUCCUCGUCAUGUCCGUGAUCAUAUCCGAGACUCCGAACAAUCUUUGGUACAUCAAAAUAUAUAAACUCAUAAUGAAACUGUCAUCGUAACGUUAAGCGUGCGGACCCUACGGGUUCGAGAAUAAUGUAGACAUGACCGAGACACGUCUCCGGUCAAUAACCAAUAGCGGAACCUGGAUGCUCAUAUUGGCUCCUACAUAUUCUACGAAGAUCUUUUAUCGGUCAGACCGCAUAACAACAUACGUUGUUCCCUUUGUCAUCGGUAUGUUACUUGCCCGAGAUUUGAUCGUCGGUAUCUCAAUACCUAGUUCAAUCUCGUUACCGGCAAGUCUCUUUACUCGUUCCGUAAUACAUCAUCCCGCAACUAACUUAUUAGUUGCAAUGCUUGCAAGGCUUAUGUGAUGUGCAUUAUCGAGAGGGCCCAGAGAUACCUUUCCAACAAUCGGAGUGACAAAUCCUAAUCUCGAAAUACGCCAACCCAACAAGUACCUUCGGAGACACAUGUAGAGCACCUUUAUAAUCACCCAGUUACGUUGUGACGUUUGGUAGCACACAAAGUGUUCCUCCAGUAAACGGGAGUUGCAUAAUCUCAUAGUCAUAGGAACAUGUGUAAGUCACGAAGAAAGCAAUAUCAUCAAACUAAACGAUCAAGUGCUAAGCUAACAAAAUGGGUCAAGUCAAUCACAUCAUUCUCCUAAUGAUGUGAUCCCGUUAAUCAAAUGACAACUCAUGUCUAUGGCUAGGAAACUUAACCAUCUUCGAUCAAUGAGCUAGUCAAGUAGAGGCAUACUAGUGACACUAUGUUUGUCUAUGUAUUCACACGUGUAUUAUGUUUCUAGUUAAUACAAUUCUAGCAUGAAUAAUAAACAUUUAUCAUGAUAUAAGGAAAUAAAUAAUAACUUUAUUAUUGCCUCUAGGGCAUAUUUCCUUCAGUCUCCCACUUGCACUAGAGUCAAUAAUCUAGAUUACACAAUAAUGAUUCUAACACCCAUGGAGCCUUGGUGUUGAUGAUGUUUUGCUCGUGGAAGAGGCUUAGUCAGCGGGUCUGCAACAUUCAGAUCCGUAUGUAUCUUGCAAAUUUCUAUGUCUCCCACUUGGACUAAAUCCUGAAUGGAAUUGAAGCGUCUCUUGAUGUGCUUGGUUCUCUUGUGAAAUCUGGAUUCCUUUGCCAAGGCAAUUUCACCAGUAUUGUCACAUAAGAUUUUCAUUGGACCCGAUGCACUAGGUAUGACACCUAGAUCAGAUAUGAACUCCUUCAUCCAGACUCCUUCAUUUGCUGCUUCCGAAGCAGCUAUGUACUCUGCUUCACAUGUAGAUCCCGCCACGACGCUUUGUUUUGAACUGCACCAACUGACAGCUCCCCCGUUUAGUAAAAAUACGUAUCCGGUUUGCGAUUUAGAAUCGUCCGGAUCUGUGUCAAAGCUUGCAUCAACGUAACCAUUUACGAUGAGCUCUUUGUCACCUCCAUAUACGAGAAACAUAUCCUUAGUCCUUUUCAGGUAUUUCAGGAUGUUCUUGACCGCUGUCCAGUGAUCCACUCCUGGAUUACUUUGGUACCUCCCUGCUAGACUUAUAGCAAGGCACACAUCAGGUCUGGUACACAUCAUUGCAUACAUGAUAGAGCCUAUGGCUGAAGCAUAGGGAACAUCUUUCAUUUUCUCUCUAUCUUCUGCGGUGGUCGGACAUUGAGUCUUACUCAACUUCACACCUUGUAACACAGGCAAGAACCCUUUCUUUGCUUGAUCCAUUUUGAACUUCUUCAAAACCUUGUCAAGGUAUGUGCUUUGUGAAAGUCCAAUUAAGCGUCUUGAUCUAUCUCUAUAGAUCUUAAUGCCCAAUAUGUAAGCAGCUUCACCGAGGUCUUUCAUUGAAAAACUCUUAUUCAAGUAUCCCUUUAUGCUAUCCAGAAAUUCUAUAUUAUUCCAAUCAAUAAUAUGUCAUCCACAUAUAAUAUCAGAAAUGCUAUAGAGCUCCCACUCACUUUCUUGUAAAUACAGGCUUCUCCAAAAGUCUGUAUAAAACCAAAUGCUUUGAUCACACUAUCAAAGCGUUUAUUCCAACUCCGAGAGGCUUGCACCAGUCCAUAAAUGGAUCGCUGGAGCUUGCACACUUUGUUAGCUCCCUUUGGAUCGACAAAACCUUCUGGUUGCAUCAUAUACAACUCUUCUUCUAGAAAUCCAUUCAGGAAUGCAGUUUUGACAUCCAUUUGCCAAAUUUCAUAAUCAUAAAAUGCGACAAUUGCUAACAUGAUUCGGACAGACUUAAGCAUUGCUACGGGUGAGAAGGUCUCAUCGUAGUCAAUCCCUUGAACUUGUCGAAAACCUUUUGCAACAAGUCGAGCUUUAUAGACAGUAACAUUACCGUCAGCGUCAGUCUUAUUCUUGAAGAUCCAUUUAUUCUCAAUUGCUUGCCGAUCAACGGGCAAGUCAACCAAAGUCCACACUUUGUUCUCAUACAAGGAUCCCAUCUCAGAUUUCAUGGCUUCUAGCCAUUUUGCGGAAUCUGGGCUCACCAUCGCUUCUUCAUAGUUCGUAGGUUCAUCAUGAUCUAGUAGCAUGACUUCCAGAACAGGAUUACCAUACCACUCUGGUGCGGAUCUUACUCUGGUUGAUCUACGAGGUUCGGUAGUAACUUGAUCUGAAGUUUCAUGAUCAUUAUCAUUAGUUUCCUCACUAAUUGGUGUAAGUGUCACAGAAACCGGUUUCUGUGAUGUACUACUUUCCAAUAAGGGAGCGGGUAUAGUUACCUCAUCAAGUUCUACUUUUCUCCCACUCACUUCUUUUGAGAGAAACUCCUUCUCUAGAAAAACUCCGAAUUUAGCAACAAAAGUCUUGCCUUCGGAUCUGUGAUAGAAGGUGUACCCAACAGUCUCCUUUGGGUAUCCUAUGAAGACACAUUUCUCCGAUUUGGGUUCGAGCUUAUCAGGUUGAAGCUUUUCACAUAAGCAUCGCAGCCCCAAGCUUUUAGAAACGACAACUUUGGUUUCUUGCCAAACCACAGUUCAUAAGGCGUCGUCUCAACGGAUUUCGAUGGUGUCCUAUUUAACGUGAAUGCAACCGUCUCUAAAGCAUAACCCCAAAAUGAUAACGGUAAAUCAGUAAGAGACAUCAUAGAUCGCACCAUAUCUAAUAAAGUACGAUUACGACAUUCGGACACACCAUUACGCUGUGGUGUUCCGGGUGGCGUGAGUUGCGAAACUAUUCCGCAUUGUUUCAAAUGUAGACCAAACUCGUAACUCAAAUAUUCUCCUCCACGAUCAGAUCGUAGAAACUUUAUUUUCUUGUUUCGAUGAUUUUCAAAUUCACUCUGAAAUUCUUUAAACUUUUCAAAUGUUUCAGACUUAUGUUUCAUUAAGUAGAUAUACCCAUAUCUUCUUAAAUCAUCUGUGAAGGUGAGAAAAUAACGAUAUCCGCCAUGAGCCUCAACAUUCAUUGGACCACAUACAUCUGUAUGUAUGAUUUCCAACAAAUCCGUUGCUCUCUCCAUAGUACCGGAGAACGGCGUUUUAGUCAUCUUACCCAUGAGGCACGGUUCGCAAGUACCAAGUGAUUCAUAAUCAAGUGGUUCCAAAAGUCCAUCAAUAUGGAGUUUCUUCAUGCGCUUUACACCGAUAUGACCUAAACGGCAGUGCCACAAAUAAGUUGCACUAUCAUUAUCAACUCUGCAUCUUUUGAUUUCAACAUUAUGAAUAUGUGUAUCACUACUAUCGAGAUUGAUCAAAAAUAGACCACUCUUCAAGGGUGCAUGACCAUAAACGAUAUUACUCAUAUAAAUAGAACAACCAUUAUUCUCUGAUUUAAAUGAAUAACCGUCUCGCAUCAAACAAGAUCCAGAUAUAAUGUUCAUGCUCAACGCUGGCACCAAAUUACAAUUAUUUAGGUCUAAUACUAAUCCCAAAGGUAGAUGUAGAGGUAGCGUGCCGAUCACGAUCACAUUGACUUUGGAACCAUUUCCCACGCGCAUCGUCACCUCGUCCUUAGCCAAUCUUUGCUUGAUCCGUAGCCCCUGUUUCGAGUUGCAAAUGUUAGCAAUAGAACCAGUAUCAAAUACCCAGGUGCUACUGCGAGCAUUAGUAAGGUACACAUCAAUAACAUGUAUAUCACAUAUACUUUUGUUCACUUUUCCAUCCUUCUUAUUCGUCAAAUACUUGGGGCAGUUCCGCUUCCAGUGACCAGUCUGCUUGCAGUAGAAGCACUCAGUUUCAGGCUUAGGUCCAGACUUGGGUUUCUUCUCCUGAGCAACAACUUAUUUGCUGUUCUUCUUGAAGUUCCCUUUCUUCUUUCCUUUGCCCUUUUUCUUGAAACUGGUGGUCUUAUUGAUCAUCAACACUUGAUGCUCCUUCUUGAUUUGUACCUCCGCGGCUUUUAGCAUUGCGAAGAGCUCAGGUAAAUAGUCUUAUUCAUCCCUUGCAUAUUAUAGUUCAUCACGAAGAUUUUGUAGCUUGGUGGCAGUGAUUGAAGAACUCUGUCAAUGACACUAUCAACAGGAAGAUUAACCCCCAGUUGAGUCAAGUGAUUAUGAUACCCAGACAUUUUGAGUAUAUGUUCACUGACAGAACUAUUCUCCCCCAUCUUGCAGCUAUAGAACUUAUUGGAGACUUCAUAUCUCUCAAUCCUGGCAUUUGCUUGAAAUAUUAACUUCAACUCCUGGAACAUCUCAUAUGCUCCAUGACGUUCAAAACGUCGUUGAAGACCCGGUUCUAAGCCGUAAAGCAUGGCAGACUGAACUAUCGAGUAGUCAUUAGCUUUGCUCUGCCAGACGUUCAUAACAUCUGGUGUUGCUCCUGCAGCAGGCUUGGCACUUAGCAGUGCUUCCAGGACGUAAUUCUUUGUGCAGCAAUGAGGAUAAUCCUCAAGUUACGGACCCAGUCCGUGUAAUUGCUACCAUCAUCUUUCAACUUUGCUUUCUCAAGGAACGCAUUAAAAUUCAACAGAACAACAACAUGAGCCAUCUAUCUACAAUCAAACAUAGACAAGCAAGAUACUAUCAGGUACUAAGUUCAUGAUAAAUUUAAGUUCAAUUAAUCAUAUUACUUAAGAACUCCCACUUAGAAAGAUAUCCCUCUAAUCCUCUAAGUGAUCACGUGAUCCAAAUCAACUAAACCAUGUCCGAUCAUCACGUGAGAUGGAGUAGUAUCAAUGGUGAACAUCAAUAUGUUGAUCAUAUCUACUAUAUGAUUCACGCUCGACCUUUCGGUCUCCGUGUUCCGAGGCCAUAUCUGUUAUAUGCUAGGCUCGUCAAGUUAAACCUGAGUAUUCCGCGUGUGCAACUGUUUUGCACCUGUUGUAUUUGAACGUAGAGCCUAUCACACCCGAUCAUCAUGUGGUGUCUCAGCACGAAGAACUUUUGCAACGGUGCAUACUCAGGGAGAACACUUAUACUUUGAUAAUUUAGUGAGGGAUCAUCUUAUAAUGCUACCGUCAAUCAAAGCAAGAUAAGAUGCAUAAAAGAUAAACAUCACAUGCAAUCAAUAUAAGUGAUAUGAUAUGGCCAUCAUCAUCUUGUGCUUGUGAUCUCCAUCUUCGAAGCACCGUCAUGAUCACCAUCGUCACCGUCGCAACACCUUGAUCACCAUCGUAGCAUCAUUGUCGUCUCGCCAAAACUUAUGCUUCCACGACUAUCGCUACCGCUUAGUGAUAAAGUAAAGCAUUACAGCGCAAUUGCAUUGCAUACAAUAAAGCGACAACCAUAUGGCUCCUGCCAGUUGCCGAUAACUUAGUUACAAAACAUGAUCAUCUCAUACAAUAAAAUUUAGCAUCAUGUCUUGACCAUAUCACAUCACAACAUGCCCUGCAAAAACAAGUUAGACGUCCUCUACUUUGUUGUUGCAAGUUUUACGUGGCUGCUACGGGCUUUAGCAAGAACCGUUCUUACCUACGCAUCAAAAACCACAACGAUAGUUUGUCAAGUUGGUGCUGUUUUAACCUUCGCAAGGACCGGGCGUAGCCACACUCGGUUCAACUAAAGUUGGAGAAACUGACACCCGCCAGCCACCUGUGUGCAAAGCACAUCGGUAGAACCAGUCUCGCGUAAGCGUACGCGUAAUGUCGGUCCGGGCCGCUUCAUCCAACAAUACCGCCGAACCAAAGUAUGACAUGCUGGUAAGCAGUAUGACUUAUAUCGCCCACAACUCAAUUGUGUUCUACUCGUGCAUAACAUCAACGCAUAAAGCCUGGCUCGGAUGCCACUGUUGGGGAACGUAGUAAUUUCAAAAAAUUUCCUACGCACACGCAAGAUCAUGGUGAUGCAUAGCAACGAGAGGGGAGAGUGUUGUCUAUGUACCCUCGUAGACCAGAAGCGGAAGCGUUAGCACAACGUGGUUGAUGUAGUCGUACGUCUUCACGGCCCGACCGAUCAAGCACCAAAACUACGGCACCUCCGAGUUCUAGCACACGUUCAGCUCGAUGACGAUCCCCGGACUCCGAUCCAGCAAAGUGUCGGGGAAGAGUUCCGUCAGCACGACGGCGUGGUGACGAUCUUGAUGUUCUACCGUCGCAGGGCUUCGCCUAAGCACUGCUACAAUAUUAUUGAGGAUUAUGGUGGAGGGGGCACCGCACACGGCUAAGAGAAUGAUCACGAAGAUCAACUUGUGUGUCUAGAGGUGUCCCCAUGCCCCUGUAUAUAAAGGAGCAAGGGGGAGAGGCCGGCUGGCCCUUGGGGCGCGCCAAGGAGAGGCGAGUCCUCCUCCUAGUAGGAGUAGGACUCCCCUUUCCUAGUCCAACUAGGAAGAGAGAAGGGGGGAGGAAAGAGAGGGAGAGGGAGAGGGAAAGAGGGCCCGCGCCCCCCUCCCCUAGUCCAAUUCGGACUCCCCAUGGGAGGGGGCGCGCCACCACCUGGGCUGCUGCUCUCUCUCUCCCCGCAGGCCCACUAAGGCCCAAUAUUUCCCCGGGGGGUUCCGGUAACCCUUCCGGCACUCCGGUUUUCUCCGAAAUCACCCGAAACACUUCCGGUGUCCGAAUAUAGCCGUCCAAUAUAUCGAUCUUUAUGUCUCGACCAUUUCGAGACUCCUUGUCAUGUCCGUGAUCAUAUCUGAGACUCCGAACAAUCUUCGAUACAUCAAAAUAUAUAAACUCAUAAUGAAACUGUCAUUGUAACGUUAAGCGUGCGGACCCUAUGGGUUCGAGAAUAAUGUAGACAUGACCGAGACACGUCUCUGGUCAAUAACCAAUAGCGGAACCUGGAUGCUCAUAUUGGCUCCUACAUAUUCUACGAAGAUCUUUUAUCGGUCAGACCGCAUAACAACAUACGUUGUUCCCUUUGUCAUCGAUAUGUUACUUGCCCGAGAUUUGAUCAUCGGUAUCUCAAUACCUAGUUCAAUCUCGUUACUGGCAAGUCUCUUUACUCGUUCCGUAAUACAUCAUCCCGCAGCUAACUUAUUAGUUGCAAUGCUUGCAAGGCUUAUGUGAUGUGCAUACCGAGAGGGCCCAGAGAUACCUCUCUGACAAUCGGAGUGACAAAUCCUAAUCUCGAAAUACGCCAACCCAACAAGUACCUUCGGAGACACCUGUAGAGCACCUUUAUAAUCACCCAGUUACGUUGUGACAUUUGGUAGCACACAAAGUGUUCCUCCGGUAAACGGGAGUUGCAUAAUCUCAUAGUCAUAGGAACAUGUAUAAGUCAUGAAGAAAGCAAUAGCAUCAAACAAAAUGAUCAAGUGCUAAGCUAACGAAAUGGGUCAAGUCAAUCACAUCAUUCUCCUAAUGAUGUGAUCCCGUUAAUCAAAUGACAACUCAUGUCUAUGGCUAGGAAACUUAACCAUCUUCGAUCAACGAGCUAGUCAAGUAGAGGCAUACUAGUUACACUAUGUUUGUCUAUGUAUUCACACAUGUAUUAUGUUUCCGGUUAAUACAAUUCUAGCAUGAAUAAUAAACAUUUAUCAUGAUAUAAGGAAAUAAAAAAUAACUUUAUUAUUGCCUCUUGGGCAUAUUUCCUUCACGAAUCGAGACUGGGAUUUGUCAUUCCGUGUAAUGGAGAGGUAUCUCUGGACCCACUCGGUAGGACAUCAUCAUAAUGUGCACAAUGUGACCAAGGAGUUGAUCACGGGAUGAUGUGUUACGGAACGAGUAAAGAGACUUGCCGGUAACGAGAUUGAAUGAGGUAUCGGGAUACCGACGAUCGAAUCUCGGGCAAGUAUCGUACCAAUAGACAAAGGGAAUUGUAUACGGGAUUGAUUGAAUCCUUGACAUCGUUGUUCAUCCGAUGAGAUCAUCGUGGAGCAUGUGGGAGCCAACAUGGGUAUCCAGAUCCCGCUGUUGGUUAUUGACCGGAGAGUUGUCUCGGCCAUGUCUGCAUGACUCCCGAGCCCAUAGGGUCUACACACUUAAGGUUCGAUGACGCUAGGGUUAUAGGGAAAGUAUGUACACGGUUACCUAAUGUUGUUCGGAGUCCCGGAUGAGAUCUCGGACGUCAUGAGGAGUUCCAGAAUGGUCCGGAGGUAAAGAUUUAUAUAUGGGAAGUCCCGUUUUGGUCACCAGAAAAGUUUCGGGUGCUAUCGGUAACGUACGAGGACCACCGGGAGGGUCCCAGGGGUCCACCAGGUGGGGCCACCAGCCCCAGAAGGCUGCGUGGGCCAUGUGUGGGAGGGGACCAGCCCCAGGUGGGCUGGUGCGCCCCCCACCAAGGCCCAAGGCGCAUGGAGAGUGGGAAUGGGGCAAACCCUAGGUCCAGAUGGGCCUUAAGGCCCACCCUGGGGCGCCCCCCUCUCUUCCCCCCUUGGCCGCACCCUAGAUGGGUUUUGGGGGCUGACGCCACCCCUAGGGAUGGAACCCUAGAUGGGGGUGCAGCACCUCCCCUUCCUCUAUAUAUACUUGAGGUAUGGGGCUGCCCAACACAUGAUUUAGAUCUCCCUCUUGGUGCAGCCCUACCUCUCUCCCUCCUCGUCUCUCGUAGUGCUUGGCGAAGCCCUGCUGGAGUCCCGCGCUCCUCCACCAUCACCACGCCGUCGUGCUGCUGCUGGACGGAGUCUUCCCCAACCUCUCCCUCUCUCCUUGCUGGAUCAAGGCGCGGGAGACGUCACCGGGUUGUAUGUGUGUUAAAUGCGGAGGCGCCGUUGUUCGGUGCUUAGAUCGGAAUCGACCACGAUCUGAAUUGCUACGUGUACGACUCCACCAACCGCGUUCUUGCAACGCUUCCGCUUAGCAAUCUACAAGGGUAUGUAGAUGCACUCCCCUUCCCCUUGUUGCUAGAUUACUCCAUAGAUUGAUCUUGGUGAUGCGUAGAAAAUUUUAAAUUUCUGCUACGAUCCCCAACAAAAGGUGGAUCAUAUUCAGUCCCAUCAUUAUCAAGAUUCAGAUUGCAAAACAAAGAUUUAAUAGGGGACACAUCAAUAACUUUUAGAUCUUCAUCUUUAUUUUCAUAGGAAAUAGAAGAACACGCUCUUAUAAAGGCAUCUUUCUUAGCACGCAUCCUAGUGGUUCUUUCUUUGCACUCAUCAAUGGACAUUCUCAUGGCUUUGAGAGACUCAUUGAUAUCAUGCUUAGGAGGAAUAGAUCUAAGUUUUAAAGAAUCAAAAUCAAGAGAAAUUCUAUCAACAUUCCUAGCCAAAUCAUCAACUUUAAGCAAUUUCUCUUCAAGCAAAGCAUUGAAAUUCUUUUGCGAAUUCAUAAAUUCCUUAACACUAUUCUCAAAUGCAGAGGGCAUCUUAUUGAAAUUUCCAUAAGAGUUGUUGUAGGAAUUUCCAGAAUUAUUAGAGGGAUUACUAGGAUAAGGCCUAGGAUUAAAGUUUCCUCUAUACGCGUUGUUACCAAAAUUAUUCCUACCAACAAAAUUCACAUCCAUAGAUUCAUUAUUGUUCCCAAUCAAAGUAGACAAGGGCAUAUCAUUAGGACCAGAAGAAACACUCUUACUAGCAAAUAAUUUCAUAAGUUCAUCCAUCUUUCCACUCAAAACAUUAAUUUCUUCUAUCGCAUGCACCUUUUUAUCAGUAGAUCUUUCAGUAUGCCAAUGAGAAUAAUUAACCAUAAUAUUAUCUAGGAGUUUAGUAGCUUCUCCUAAAGUGAUUUCCAUAAAAGUGCCUCCCGCGGCCGAAUCUAAAAGAUUUCUAGAAGCAAAAUUCAAUCCGGCAUAAAAAAUUUGUAUAAUCAUCCACAAAUUCAAACCAUGAGUAGGGCAAUUACGUAUCAUUAAUUUCAUCCUCUCCCAAGCUUGUGCAACAUGUUCAUGAUCAAGUUGCUUAAAAUUCAUAAUAUCGUUUCUAAGGGAGUUGAUCUUAGCGGGAGGAAAAUACUUAGAGAUAAAAGCAUCUUUGCACUUGUUCCAAGAAUCAAUACUAUUUUUAGGCAAAGACGAAAACCAAGAGUUAGCACGAUCUCUAAGCGAAAAAGGAAAUAGCUUCAACUUAACAAAAGCAUUGUCCACAUCUUUCUUAUUUUACAUAUCACACAAAUCAACGAAGCUAUUUAGAUGGGUAGCGGCAUCUUCACUAGGAAGGCCGAAAAACGGAUCUUUCAUGACAAGAUUCAGCAAAGCGACAUUAAUUUCACAAGAUUUAGCAUCGGUAAGAGGAGCAAUCGGAGUGCUAAUAAAAUCAUUGUUGUUGGUAUUGGUAAAGUCACACAAUCUAGUGUUAUCUUGAGCCAUCGUGACAAUCAAGCAAUCCAACACACAAGCAAACAAAAAGCAAGUGGGCAAAAAGAGGCAAAUAGAGAAAGAGAGGGAGGAUAGAGAGAGAGGGCGAAUAAAAUGGCAAGGAUGAAGUGGGGGAGAGGAAAACGAGAGGCAAAUGGCAAAUAAUGUAAUGCGGGAGAUAAGGGCUGUGAUGGGUACUUGGUAUGUUGACUUUUGCGUAGACUCCUGAUACGUCUCCAACGUAUCUAUAUUUUUUGAUUGUUCCAUGCUAUUAUAUUAACAACCUUGGAUGUUUUAUAUGCAUUUAUAUGAUAUUUUAUAUGAUUUUUGGGACUAACCUAUUAACCUAGAGCCCAGUGCCAGUUUAUGUUUUUCCCUUGUUUUAGAGUAUCGUAGAAAAGGAAAAUCAAACGGAGUCCAAUUGACCUGAAACUUCACGGAGCUUAUUUUUGGAACGGAAGCAAUCCAGAAGACGUGGGGUCUAUGUAAGGGAAGCAACGAGAAAGGCACGAGGCAGGGGGCGCGCCCACCCCCCUGGGCGCGCCCUUCACCCUCGUGGGCCCCUCGUGGCUUCCCUGACGUACUUCUUCCUCCUAUAUAUAUCCAUAUACCCUAAAAACAUCCGGGAGCACAAUAGAUCGGGAGUUUCGCCGCCAGAAGCCUCCGUAGCCACCAAAAACCAAUCUAGACCCGUUCUGGCACCCUGUCGAAGGGGAAAUCCUUCUCUGGUAUCCAUCUUCAUCAUCCCGGUGCUCUCCAUGAUGAGGAGGGAGUAGUUCUCCCUCGGGGCUGAGGGUAUGUACCAAAAGCUACGUGUUUGAUCUCUCUCUGUCUCGUGUUCUUGAGGUGAUACGUUCUUGAUGUAUUGCGAGCUUUGCUAUUAUAGUUGGAUCUUAUGAUGUUUCUCCCCCUCUACUCUCUUGUAAUGGAUUGAGUUUCCCCUAUUGAAGUUAUCUUAUCGGAUUGAGUCUUUAAAGAUUUGAGAACACUUGAUGUAUGUCUUGCCGUGUGUAUCAGUGGUGAUAAUGGGAUAUCACGUGAUUCACUUGAUGUAUGUUUUGGUGAUCAACUUGCGGGUUCCGCCCAUGAACCUUGCAUAGGGGUUGGCACACGUUUUCGUCAUGAUUCUCCGGUAGAAACUUUGGGGCACUCUUUGAGGUUCUAUGUGUUGGUUGAAUAGAUGAAUCUGAGAUUGUGUGAUGCAUAUCGUAUAAUCAUGCCCACGGAUACUUGAGGUGACAUUGGAGUAUCUAGGUGACAUUAGGGUUUUGGUUGAUUUGUGUCUUAAGGUGUUAUUCUAGUACGAACUCUAGGGCUGUUUGUGACACUUAUAGGAAUAGCCCAACGGAUUGAUUGGAAAGAAUAACUUUGAGGUGGUUUCGUACCCUGCCAUAAUCUCUUCGUUUGUUCUCCGCUAUUAGUGACUUUGGAGUGACUCUUUGUUGCAUGUUGAGGGAUAGUUAUGUGAUCCAAUUAUGUUAUUAUUGUUGAGAGAACUUGCACUAGUGAAAGUAUGAACCUAGGCCUUCUUUCAACGCAUUGCAAUACCAUUUACGCUCACUUUUAUCAUUAGUUACCUUGCUGUUUUUAUAUUUUUCAGAUUACAAAAACCUAUAUCUACCAUCCAUAUUGCACUUGUAUCACCAUCUCUUCGCCGAACUAGUGCACCUAUACAAUUUGCCUAUGUAUUCGGUGUGUUGGGGACACAAGAGACUCUUUGUUAUUUGGUUGCAGGGUUGUUUGAGAGAGACCAUCUUCAUCCUAUGCCUCCUACGGAUUGAUAAAUCUUAGGUCAUCCACUUGAGGGAAAUUUGCUACUGUCCUACAAACCUCUGCACUUGGAGGCCCAACAACGUCUACAAGAAGAAGGUUGUGUAGUAGACAUCAAGCUCUUUUCUGGCGCCGUUGCUGGGGAGGUGAGUGCUUGAAGGUAUAUCUUUAGAUCUUGUAAUCGAGUCUUUUAGUUUCUUGUUUUAUCACUAGUUUAGUUUAUAAAAGAAAAUUACAAAAAAAUGGAAUUGAGUCUACCUCAUACGCUUCGUAUUUUUAAUAUCUUUCGUGAGUAUGAUGGAAAGGAAAAUUGUGCCAAAGUGUUAGAAGAAGAAUGCAUUAAAAUGUUUGGCACUAAAUCUUUGAAUGAUGAGCAUGAUUGCAAUGUUGUUAGUAUGAACUCCUUGAAUAUCCAUGGUACUAAUGAUGAUUGCACUAGUUAUGAUGAAAAUGACUCUGCUACCUCUUGAGCACUACGUUGGUUUUCCCCGAAGAGGAAGGGAUGAUGCAGCAAAGUAGCGUAAGUAUUUCCCUCAGUUUUUGAGAACCAAGGUAUCAAUCCAGUAGGAGGCUACGCUCGAGUCCCUCGUACCUACACAAAACAAAUAAAUCCUCGCAACCAACGCAAAUAGGGGUUGUCAAUCCCUAUGAGGCCACUUAUGAGAGUGAGAUCUGAUAGAUAUGAUAAAGAUAAUAUUUUUGGUAUUUUUAUGAUAAAGAUGCAAAGUAAAAUAAAGGCAAAGUAAAUAGCAAAGUAGUAGGAGAACAAUAUGAUAAAGAUAGACCCGGGGGCCAUAGGUUUCACUAGUGGCUUCUCUCGAGGGCAUGAGUAUUCUACGGUGGGUGAACAAAUUGCUGUUGAGAAAUUGACAGAAUUGAGCAUAGUUAUGAGAAUAUCUAGGCAUGAUCAUGUAUAUAGGCAUCACGUCCGAAACAAGUAGACCGACUCCUGCCUGCAUCUACUACUAUUACUCCACUCAUCGACCGCUAUCCAGCAUGCAUCUAGAGUAUUAAGUUAAAAACAGAGUAACGCCUUAAGCAAGAUGACAUGAUGUAGAGGGAUAGACUCAUGCAAUAUGAAGAAAACCCCAUCUUGUUAUCCUCGAUGGCAACAAUACAAUACGUGCCUUGCUGCCCUUACUAUCAUUGGGAAAGGACACCGCAAGAUUGAACCCAAAGCUAAACACUUCUCCCAUUGAAGAUCAAUCUAGUAGGCCAAACCAAACUGAUAAUUCGAAGAGACUUGCAAAGAUAACCAAUCAUACAUAAAAGAAUUUAGAGAAUAUUCAAAUAUUGUUCAUAGAUAGACUUGAUCAUAAACCCACAAUUCAUCGGUCUCAACAAACACACCGCAAAAAGAAGAUUACAUCGAAUAGUUCUCCACAAGAGAGGGGAGAACAUUGUAUUGAGAUCCAAAAAGAGAGAAGAAGCCAUCUAGCUACUAACUAUGGACCCGUAGGUCUGAGAUAAACUACUCACACUUCAUCGGAGGGGCUAUGGUGUUGAUGUAGAAGCCCUCCAUGAUCGAUGCCCCCUCCGGCGGAGCUCCGGAACAGGCCCCAAGAUGGGAUCUCGUGGAUACAGAAAGUUACGGUGGUGGAAUUAGGGUUUUGGCUCCUGCCCUAUUCGUUUGGGGGUACGUGGAUAUAUAUAGGAGGAAUAAGUACGUCGAUGGAGCAAUAGGGGGGCCACAAGGGUGGGGGGCGCGCUUGGUAGGGUAGGGCGCGCCCCCCUACCUCGUGGCCUCCUGUUACGUGCCUUGACAUAGGGUCCAACUCUCCCGGGUCUUAUCUGUUGAGAAAAUCAUGUUUACGAAGGCUUCAUUCCGUUUGGAGUCCAUUUGAUAUUCCUUUUUUUCGAAACCCUAAAACAGGCAAAAAAACAGCAAUUCUGGGCUGGGCCUCCAGUUAAUAGGUUAGUCCCAAAAAUAAUAUAAAAGUGGAUAAUAAAGCCCAAUAAUGUCUAAAACAGUAGAUAAUAUAGCAUGGAGCAAUCAAAAAUUAUAGAUACGUUGGAGACGUAUCAGUCUCCUAUAAACAUGUCAAUUUUUGUGGAGUGCAUUGGGUUUGUAAGUACACACCAAAUAGGGAAGAUAGAUAUUGCAUGAGGCAUAAGUACUUAGAAACUAAAUUGUUGCAAGAAAGGCUAGAUGAUUGUGCUGAAAAUUUAAAUUUUCUUGGCCGUACUUGUGAACUUUGCAAUGAACAUGGUCAUUUAGCUAUCUGAUGCAAAUUGUUUCAUGAUCUAAUCGUGUCCAAAAAUUGUGAUGACUUGAUUUCCCUUGCACAUUACAAUGAACUUAGUUUGCUUAUGGGCUACGAAGAAAUGAAACGUAUAACUAAGCAUCUUCCAGAAUUUGCUCGUUAUAAACUUCUUGGUUUUGAUCUAGAGGAAAUUUAUAUGUAUUGUGCGGUGAAUUGUAUUGAAAAUCCUUAUAUUGCCAACUACAUAAAGAAAAUAAAACAAAUAGAAGAUGAAGAGAAUACUAAUGAAAGGGAAGAGACUUCCCAAUACCCUCCUAUUAUUUCUUAUGAUGAAUCAGGUAACGAGGAAGAGCCUCCUAUUCAACCAAUCUCAUUAAUAAGGAGCUCCAAAAAGAGGAUUGAACCCACACAUGAUGUGGUGAAGAAGAAGAAAAGAAAAAGGAAGAGAGGUAAAAAGAUAUCUCCCCCAAAUAAUGUUGCUCCUAUUACUAUUGUGCCUCAUGAAAAUAUAAUUGUGGAAGCUAAUGAUACUUCUUAUGAUCUUGAAAAUCUUUUUGGCACUUGCUUGGAAGAAUAUGAUAAUUGCUAUACUAUUGGUGCUAUCCAUACUAUUAAUGAUGAGAGUGAUUAUGCUUAUGAUAUGAAAAGGCCCAAGCUUUGGGAUGCUAUGUUUGAUGAAGAUGAUGUUUUUGAGAAUAUAUUUGCUGCAAUUAAUGUUUGUCCCAAGCUUGGGGAUGCUACGUUUAAUGAAGAUGAUAUUUUUAGUCUCCCAAAUUUUGAUGUGCAAAUUUACAAUGAUGAUAGCAUGCCUCCUACCUGUGAUGAUUAUUGUGAUGAUACUUAUGCUAUAAAUAGUAGUGAUUAUAUUUAUAAAACUUGUCAUGCUUAUGAUUACCCCUUUUCUAAACAUUACUCUUUUAAUAUGGAAACAAUUUAUAGUAUUAGAGUCUUUUAUGAUACUCCCACUAUUCCGAAUGAGAAGAAUUUUGCUUAUGUGGAGAGUAAUACAAAUUCUAUGCUUGUAGAUCAUGAAAAGAAUGCUUUAGGUGCUGGUUAUAUUGUUGAAUUCAUUCAUGAUGCUACUGAAAAUUAUUAUGAGGGAGUAAUAUAUGCUUGUAGGAAUUGCAAUAAUAUCAAGUUUCCUCUCUAUGUGCUUAAAAUUUUGAAGUUAUGCUUGUUUUACCUUCCUAUGCAAGUUGAUUCUUGUUCUCAUAAGUUGUUUGCUCACAAAAUCCCUAUGCAUAGGAAGUGGGUUAGACUUAAAUGUGCUAGUCAUAUUCUUCUUGAUGCUCUCUUUAUGUUUCAAUUCUUAUCUUUUAUGUGAGCAUCAUUGAAAUCAUCACGCCUAGCUAAGGGCGUUAAACGAUAGUGCUUGUUGGGAGGCAACCCAAUUUUAUUUUUGUUCCUUGUUUUUUGUUCCUGUUUAGUAAUAAAUAAUUCAUCUAGCCUCUGUUUAUAUGUGGUUUUAUGCUUUUAAUUAGUGUUUGUGCCAAGUAGAACCUUUUGGAAGACUUGGGGAAAGUCUUUUUAAUCUUGCUGUAAAAAAUAGAAACUUUAGCGCUCACGAGAAUUGCUGCCAUUUUUAUUUGGAAAGUGAUUAAUUAUUUUUGCAGAUGAUUAAUAGAUAAAUUUCUCACGUCCAGCAAUUUAUUUGAGAAUUUUAUGAGUUCCAGAAGUAUACGUUUGAUCCAGAUUACUACAGACUGUUCUGUUUUUGACAGAUUCUGUUUUUGAUGUGUUAUUUGCUUAUUUUGAUGAAUCUAUGAGUAGUAUCGGAGGGUAUGAACCAUAGAUAAGUUGGAAUAAAUUAGAUAUUACACAAAUAUGAAUUUAUAAUGAGUUCACAACAGUAUCUAAGUGGUUAUUUAUUUUCUUAUACUAAC
Molecule: long non-coding RNA, 78468 nt
Filed under: Triticum aestivum (bread wheat)
Lineage: Eukaryota; Viridiplantae; Streptophyta; Magnoliopsida; Poales; Poaceae
Description: long non-coding RNA (TAES_LNC026371)
Source: RNAcentral